CUAUAGUCCCAAAACUAUUAUCAAUUUUUAGAUAACACAAGCAUAAACCAGUAAAUAAUUCCUCAUAAUGCAUACGGUUAAGUUGCAUACGGUUAAGGUAAACAUGAAUACUGAAAAUAACACAUUUCCGUAACAAUAACAUGAAACAAAGACUAAACUAACCCAAAAAGAGCAAAAAACACUUAUAGAAUUGCACACCUAAGAGUCAGAUGAUCAUGUCUAACAUCCACUUUGUCUGUUCUUGAACCAAUUCAACGCGCUCCAAGUACACCUCAGCCUCCUUAAUUAUCAGUGCCUUCCACCUCUAAUCAAAUACCUGCGCUUUCGAGCUUCCAAGCUUAUCCCAUCCAUCCUUGGCAGUAAUCUCUCCAAAAUCCGCUGGUGGCAUUGGCAGAGACAAACGAUUCUGAGGCUUCAAUGAUUGAUCCAAGUACUGAUACUGUGAACCAAUUAUAUUAUCUUCUUCCAUUAGAUCCACCACCUUUGGAGAAACAGCUAAAUUACGUGUGAAAACUUAUAUCAACAAUCCGCUGUUGACGUGUUUCGAACCCACGACCUCUCCACUUUGUGAGAGGGGUGCUACCAUUGAGCCACAGGCUCGCCUUUUGAGUUUACUCUUACUCUUGUUCAAAGCAGUUACUCCUGAUUUGUUUUCUUCGGCAUCUUUAAAGAUCUGAUCAUCCCAAAUCUCCUUGGACAAAAGAUAUGACUUAAGCUCAUGGGGGUUUGAAAUAGUUGGAUGUCCAGCACCAGGCUUGGCUCUUUUUGCAUUUUUUCGAUACUUGUUAUGUAACCUAUGAACCUUAUUGAUAAUUUGACUCAAAUUAGCCCCAAUAUUAACAGAACCCUUGAGAAAAUUAUAGAAUUCACUCAAAGCAGAGUUAGUAAUUUUGUUUCCCUUGUUUUUAAACUCAAGCAAACCAUUUAAUACAUCAAUUUCAUCUUUUUCACUAAAAAUCCUUUGAAACAACUUUUUUUCCUCACCUGAUUUUUUUUCUUCAAUAUCAGCAAUUUUCUUCUUCUUCUUCUUAGAAUCUUUGUCAUUGUUAUCUCCUGUUUCCAAUGGACGUUUCAUAGCAGCAGAAGAAGUGGAGGUGGAGGUGGAGGUUGGUUUCUUUGUAGAUUUGGGAGUAUCAACAAUGGGUUUUGAUGAAAUGGGUUUCUUAGUAGAUUUUUGAGUAUCAACCAUGGGUUUUGAAGAAAUGGGUUUCACAGUAGCAACCAUAUGUUGAACAGGUUCAUUAUCUGAAUCAGAAUCAGAAUCUGAAUCUGAAUCUGAACCAGAUUCUUCUUCUUCUUCUUCUUCUUCAACAGGGUUUGAAGAUUGAAUGGGUUUUGGUGUUUUUUCUUCUUCUGAUUCUGAUUCUGAUUCUUCUUCUGAAUCUUCACCUUCAGUACCUUCAGUACCUUCAAUUUCAUCUUCAGAAAUAGAAACAGAUGAUGGUGGUUGAUCUGAUGGAGAUGGGCGUUUUGGAGCCAUUUUUGAUAACAAGAUGAAAUUCAAGUGUUUUAGGGUUUAAUUAAAACAAGAGGGAGGAGGAAGUUCAAGUGUUUUAGGGUUUAAUUAAAACAAGAGGGAAGAGGAAGUUCAAGUGUUUUAGGGUUUUGUGAAUUGUAAUCAAACUUUUCGUCUCGAGAUGUGUAACAUUUGACACUUUUGUAAAUUAAAUGUGGUGUCAGACCUAAAUUCGACCUUCAGGCCUCCACUUUCAAAUAGCUCAUUACCCAAAGUCUUAAAACUUAAUUCCAUCAAAUUAAAAUGUUGAAAAUAUCACUUGUUUUUCCAAUUGGUCUAAGAACCACUUUACUUGCGAACUUCUGUACUACAGUUACUAGGUGUUUAAACCCGUGCCACACAUUGGGAUAUGUGUGAUCUGAUAUAUGGAAAAUCAAAUGCAAUGCUAUUGCUCAAAGGUUAUGAUUUGUGAUUUUCUUAAUCUAUACAUUUGUGAAAGUUAUAUCCCUGAUUUUUUUUUUUAGGCACAAUCGUCAUGUAUCACUUUUUUGGGACUUUCAUUAAAGUCUCCAAUCAAAUAAGAGUUGUCCAUACCUGAUUGUAAAAAGGACAUGUAAUGCACAAAAAUGAUUCUGAUAAAUCUUACUUGAAAUUUGAAAAUACUCCAAAAACAUGAUUACUGAUGGACUCAAAUAAACAUUAGACAUAAUUUCAUGCAAUUACAAUGAACAAUAUUUCAAGUUGCAGACAUGUCCUUAGGAGCAAAGUGUGUGACCUCAAUGUGAAAGCAGCGUCAAUACUGGUUUGUCAUCUUUCUUGACUUCAUCGUAUCUUUUUGAGCAAAUUUGAGAUACCCCAGAAAAGUUUGUACUCUUUGCGAUUGCCCCCAAUAAAAAGUUCAUUAGUGAUACCCCAAAACUCAUUUGUUGCUGGUCAAUCGAGUCAUUGACCAAGGCUUGACCAAUCUUUUUUUAUUUUAGACAAAACUACCCCUUCAUUCAAUUAAAUUGAAAUCCUAGUCAGUUGCCAUGUCAACCACUACCUCUACCACAUCACUAUCGUCGCCAUCACCACCACCACCAUAUUUCGCAAAAUUCUUAAGAAGAAAUUAUUUCCAAGAUUAAAUACUAAAAUACAAUCAUUUUUUAUAAUAAACAUCAAUCUCAUCAUUUCCAUUGUUUGAGUAAGAAAACCUAUCACCACCACGUACAUUUCUGUAUUAACCUAUUUCUAGAUUAAUGCACUACUAGAUCAGGUCGUUGGGAGACUUGACCAAAGGGGAGGUUUUAGAUCGGGGUGGUUGCACUUCGUUGAGAUCGAGAUUGCCUACGUACUCUUAGCUUGAGGGAAUUGAACUUAGAGAUCAAGCCAUCGUAGUUCUGUUCUUAUAGAAGGUAGAAAGGCGUGGAUUGUGGAUCUUGCAGAUUCUCCGCCGUCAUAAUGAGGAUUGAUUGUGUAACGCGCGAGGACCAUCCUUGUGAAUUAAUUAUGUAACUGACGAGGAUAUUCUGUGCAUUGAAUGAGAGCACGUGUGUAUAAGCAGGUCGCCGCUGGUUGCGUGGUUGGGUCGUUGCUGUCGAGCUACUAGCAGGUAGGGAUCAUGGCGACCUGAUGGUUGAAUGACUGUGCCACGUGGCUGCUUUUGAUUGGAUGGAGUAUGUAGUACCCCUAGGUAAGCCCCCUCUUUUUAGGUCGGCUGUAGAAGUCGGGCUGAAAAGACUAAGAACUCUGAUCGAUGCUGAUUUAUAGUUUGUUUUUUAGAUUUGCUGACGUGGCAGUCAUGCAGGCUUGUCUGUACUAAUCAUGGCGCUCUUACGGGGAAGUGGAGGAUUUUCCUCGAGCAGCUAGCUGUGCAGUUAUGGCAACUGACGCACUUCUUGCCUGAUAUGGUCUUUGUGUGCCAAGUGGGAUGAUCCGACGGUGGAUGUGAAUCAUUUGUUAAGUGGAAAAUAACUGCAAUAGAUGUGGAUCCUCUGCUCGAUCUCAGCCGUUUACCUGUUUCGAACUGAUGGCUGGGAUUGUAUGUGCUACAGUAUUUAAACUGUAGCUCUCUUGAGAAGGGUUUACCUAUCUCGCCUUUAUUUGAAUUGUUGCCGCUUUUCUCUUGCGAUCUGAAGAACCUUGAGAGCUCGUGAGGUUAGUUUUCUUCUCUUUCUUUUCUUUCAUCUUCUAUUUUCUUUUCUGUUGCUUGAUAGAAAUGUCUGACCUGAGUGACUCUCAAAAUGAUAAUUUGAGUGGUGGUGGUGGUGAGGAGUAUGAGUCUGAAAGGACUCAUUCUGAAGCCUUGUCUCCCGUUCAUGGUGUGGACUCUGAUAGCCCCCAGAGUAGCGGUUCUCAUGGGGCGGACUCGUCUGAGGAGGAAAUGGUGGAAGGAGACGAUGGCUCGAUGUGUAGAGUAGUGAACCUUAAGUAUGUAAAUAGGCAUAUUGCGUUUAGGAAGCAGUAUGGUCUUAGCUCGAUUGAGCAUUUGGAGAUUAGAUUUUUAGGAGAUCGUUUACUUUCUGCUGAGUAUCGACCUAAAAAUCCCUUCUCGACUGUUUUUACUUUGACCCAAUUCCGAGCUGGGCUGAGGCUGCCAUUGUCUUGUUUGGUGGUCGACCUGUUGAAUGCUAUUGGUCGAGCCCCCUGCCAGAUGAAUGGCAAUUUCUGGAGAAAUAUGAGGGUAAUUGACGACCUCAAUAAGCUGCAUAAGUGGAACAUUACUGUAAGUGAUGUAUUGGACCACUUCAGCUUCAAACGUUCUUCAAAGGCUGAUUUUUCCGGCUAUAACAUGCAAGUUAGGCCAGAACGUUUGCCUUUGAUCUAUCCGGUAAGUAGUGAGCCAUGGUGGAAAGAUCCCAUGCUGAUUACUGGGUCGAUCAUCGAGGGGAGUAUCCAGUUGCGUCAUGUGACUAGGAAUGAUGCUCGUGAGUUUCUGGUUAUUAGUCUCAAUACUGUAGAUUGUUUUCCUGUUUCCGGACUUGAUGAUUUUGUAUCUUUUUUGCAGCGAUCAGGGACGAUCAUCUUUUGAGGAAGAACGAUCUGCAGUCCGCUUUGAACGGUUUUGGUUUCUUGGCUGACCACCGUAAGAUACAGCUAUUACCCCACCUGAAGGAGCAUUUUAUUCCCAAAGGUGGUCCGAAAACCGUUGAAGAAGAGCUCGAGAGGAGGAAGUUGCUGAGGAAAGUGCAUAUGUCUUCUGUACAUAAAGCUGAGACUGGGCGUUCUGGUGGUAGUUCGUGUGCUGGGGAGAAGGAGCGAGCUAGUGGUAGCUCGAGGCCUGAGGAGAGAGAGCGAUCUGGAAGCACUGCUCGGAGGUCGGAGAAGGAACGAUCUGGGGUUAGUUCGCGCCGGGGGGAGGUAGUGGCGAGCCCACCAGUCGUAUCCCCUCCGGCCUCACUCCCUAAAUUACCUGCCUUGGCCGGGAAGAAGAGGUCGCUUUCAGGGAACCUGAAGUUGGUGGAGCCUCCAACUAUGCCGUCCUCUGCUCCUCCAAAGUUUGUGAAAUCUCCUGAGCCUCCCCUGAAGUCCAGGAAGACUGCUGUUGGGCCUUUGCAGAAAGGCAAGGGGGUAUCGUCUGAGUUUUGCCCUGGGCCGUUCGAUUAUUUGGAUGGUCGCGGUGAGAAGUAUGUCGUGUAUGAUAACGACAGUGCUAUUGACGACCCCUGCGUUGCUCGGGCUGUGAAUGAGGGCAUCGUCCUGGAUGCUGAUGCUCGAGCAGUGAAGUCGCAGACUUUGUUGGUGACCUGCUCGAAGAUAAACGCGGCGCUGUCUUUGGUGAGUGUUGUCAUAAGUCUUUUUUGGUUGUGCUUAGCCAUUGAUGGCUGAACUCUGUUUGUACUUGCAGCUCAACGCAAGCUUCCAAGAGGUGCGUCUGGUUGCUGAGGUUGGUGCUCGAGCUGAGAUUGAGUUGAAGGACCUCAAUGAGAAGCUCGAGCAGGAGAAGAAUGUUGUUGUUGUUGCUGAGUGCAAGGUGAGGGACAGGGAUGCGCAGGUCGCGGCUUUGAAGGAGAUGGUGGAGCAGCUGAAGGAGGCGGUGGAGCAGCUGAAAGAAGAUUCUGCUGCUGCUAAGGCUUCUGCUGAAUACUGGAAGCAUGCAUGCCAAGAGAAUGGCGCAGCGUGGAAGGCCUACUGCGACAACUUGAAGGAAGCUUUGAUGGGGUCGUCCGAAGGAGAGGAGACGCGAGGUGGUGCCGAUGGAACUUUGGUGGCAGCUCAGGACACCUUGACGGGCCCUAAUGACCAUGUCGCCAGUGGCCCCACGGAGAUUGAUGGUUCCGGCGACCAGUCUGUGCAGCAGUGAGCUAGACCUGGUACCGACCUUCUUGUAUUGGGUAACCUUGCGCAAAGUUUGUUUCUUGCACUCCUUGUUCUUGCAGUAAGUCUUCUUUGGCCUUCCUCAAAGCACUCUUCUGAGUUUGCGAGCUUGAGUAGACAAUCAUUUGUUUUGUUUGGAGUUGUAAUGAACAACAGUAAUUGAUAGUUUAUUUGAUGAGCUUGUAAUUAAGCCGUUCUGAUCAGCUAGUUUCCAGGGAGUCCUGGUAGCUCGUUCAGAAGGCAGGUAGACGAGAUGAAUGGCUGCAAGCAAGACGAACUGAAACCGUUCUUCUUGUAUGCCUUAGUUUAACUUUGCUUUUACCUGUAGUGGUUAGAAUCUCAUCAAGUAAAAAGAAAUUUCGCUGAUUUACCUUAUAUUGCCAUUCUUGUUACGUUGUCUGCUUGUAUGAGUUUUGCAAACAAGUAGUAAUCAUAAUGCUGGACCUGCUGGUAAAUGAGGUCGCAUGCAUGGUUGCUUGAUUGUACAUGGGUCGUGGGAAUGAUAUGACCAAUGCACCAAGUUAAGUUGCAGAUGUUUGAACUUAACAAAAUUAAAAUUAUCAAAGGGACUAGAUUUUUGAUAAUUUGUAGGUCGAGGGAUUAGACCUUUGGGAGCCAGUCAUGUUUGAGCUGAGAUGAAGGCAAAAGUAGUUUGUAUAUUGAAAUGUAAUGGAUAGAUGCUUACAUUUCAUUGAUAAAACUUUUUCAAGUGAUAAGCAUUCCAUGGGUUCUUAACGAUCUCUCCUUCUGGUGUUUGAAGACGAUAAGAACCGUUGCUUUGGACCUUGGUAAUAAUGUAAGGGCCUUCCCAAUUGGCAUUGGGUUUGCCAAUAAUAUCCUUCCUUUUGUUGUGGAACAUUUUCCUUAGAACUAGUUCUCCUGGUUGAAAAGAUCUAGGUCGUACGCCUUUGUUAUAAGCUCGCUUUAGUCGUUGUUGAUACUGUGCAAGCUUUAUAACGGCGUGGUUUCGUCGCUCCUCGAGGAGAUCGAUUCUGAACGACCAGACCUGAUUGUUAAGCUCUGUGUCGACCAGAAGGGACUUGGUCGUUCCGAAUGUUAACUCGGUGGGAAUAACGGCCUCAACUCCAUAGCAAAGACUGAAUGGUGACAUCCCUGUGGAUGUACGAGGGGUUGUUCUGUAAGCCCAUAUGAUGUUUUCCAACUGUUGUGGCCAUUGAUCGUGUUGAUCUUCGAGCUUUUUCUUUAAGUUGUUCAGAAUCUGACGAUUUGUAGCUUCGACUUGGCCGUUGGCUUGUGGAUAUCUAGGUGUUGACCUGGAAUGUUCGAUUUUCCAUAGCUCGUAGAAAGCUUUGAUGUUUUUGCCCACGAACUGAGUGCCAUUAUCCGUGACUAUUCGCUUUGGUAGACCGAAUCGUGUGAUUAUGUUUUCCCACAUGAAUCUUUGAACAUCAGCUUGAGUGAUGUUGGCGAGUGCAACGGCUUCUACCUAUUUUGUGAAGUAGUCAAUGGCGACUAGAACAAACUUCUUUUCAGACUUCUUUUCUUUGAUGAAAGGGCCCAUGAUAUCUAGCCCCCACAUGUGAAAUGGCCAUGGCGCAGUGAUGUUUAUUAGAUCGUUUGGAUGCUGAUGUUUGUUAUCAGCAAAACGCUGGCAUUCUUUACACUUCAACACAAAUUUCUUGGCUUCUUCUUUCAUUCUUGGCCAGAAAUAUCCCUGGGAGAUCGCUGUAUGAGCUAAUGUUCGACCUCCGGAGUGGUUUCCGCAUUCUCCUUCAUGGAUUUCUUGGAAGAUGAUCUGGCCAUGCUUGGGAAUCAAGCACCGUAACAACAGACCGGUUGCAGAUUUUCUGAAUAGCUUACCCUCAUGGAGUUUAUACAUAGUGACUUUAUGUAAUAGUUGACUGGCUUCCUUUUUGUUGGAUGGUAACACACCAGUUUGAAGGUAAGUGAUGAAAGGUUCCAUCCAAGUUCCUUGGAUGUCUGCUUGUUUGUGGCUAGUAGAUCAGAGAUUUGAUGAACAUCUUCCUCUUUCAAUAGAUAUGCGGGCUGCGUACUGAUUGCUAUAGUGAGAGCCCGCGGUCGAUCUGACUCGAUCUUAGAUGCUAAGAAUGCCAGUGAGUCAGCAUGUCUGUUGUCAUCUCUAGGGAUGUGAUCGAUUGUGAAAUAACUGAACUUGCUGAUGAGUUCUCUUGCUUUGCUGGCAUAUCGGAUUAAGUUGACACCAUUGAUCUGGUAGUUAUUGGUAAUCUGAUUGACUACCAAUUGGGAAUCACUGUACACCUUGAGGCGGACUGCCUGUAGGUCGAUAGCCAUUUGUAGGCCUUGGAUUAAAGCUUCGUAUUCGGCCUCAUUGUUGGAGGUCGAGAAGUCGAGACGAGUUGCUCUCUCGAGCUGUGAACCUUCAGGAGAAAUGAGCACAGUACCUAUGCCACUUCCGUUGGAGUUGUGGGAACCAUCAACAUAUAGUUGCCAAGUGUCGGGAGGACUGUCCUGGACUUUCUUUGUUUCUGGUUCUGGUUCCCAAUUGAUAUCCUCUGCUGGAUAGUCUGCUAAGAAGUCUGCAACGACCUGUCCUUUAACGGCCUGCCGAGAGAUGAACUCAAAUGUGUAAUCACCCAACUCGGCUGCCCAACGAGCCAUACGACCUGUUUUGUUCUUCUUUUCUAAUAUAUGGCAUAACGGCUGGUCGGUGAUUACUUUGACAGUGUGGGCUUGAAAAUAAGGUCUGAAUUUGCAUGCAGCAUAAAGGAGAGCUAAUGCUAACUUCUCUAGAGGUGUGUACCUUAUUUCGGCCUGUUGUAAGACUUUGCUCGUGUGAAGUAAAUUGGUCUUUCGACCUGAUUAUCCUCUUUGAAAAGCACUGCACUGAUCUCAAAAUCUGAAGUUGCGAGGUAGAUGCCGAGUAUAUCUCCGUCAUUAGGCUUAGUGAGAACUGGUGGAGUGGAUAAAUAGGCCUUGAGGUCGGUGAAGGCCUUCUCGCAUUCUUCUGUCCAUUCAUAUGUAGCCCCCUUCUUUAGAAUAUGAAGCAUUGGUCUACAUUUAUCUGAUGCUCUAGAAAUGAAUCUAUUGAGAGCUGAUACCAUGCCGUUGAGUUUUUGGAUCUGCUUCUUUGUUUUCGGGUUGGGCAUGUCAAUCAGUGCUCUGAUCUGGUCUGGAUUUGCUUCGAUGCCUCUUUUUGUGACUAGGUAGCCGAGAAACUUUCCUGAUGCGACCCCGAACAGACACUUCUCUGGAUUAAGACGCAUCUUGUAUUGUCUUAAUCUUUGGAACGCCUGGUCGAGAUUGUACAAAUGAUCCUGCUCUUAGCUACUCUUGACCAGCAUAUCGUCAAUGUAGACUUCCAUUGUUCGACCUAGUAGGUCGUCGAACAUUCUGGUGACCAGUCUCUGAUAGGUCGCUCAUGCGUUCCUUAAACCAAAUGGCAUAACCUUGUAGCAGAAGAUGCCUUGUUCUGUUGUGAAAGAGGUCUUCUCCUGGUCGGGCUCGUACAUUGGGAUCUGGUUGUAUCCUGAGUACGCGUCCAUGAAUGACAAUAGCUCGAAACCGCAUGUCUGAUCGACUAACCUAUCGAUUCGUGGCAGUGGGAAUGAAUCUUUAGGACAAGCUUUGUUCAAGCUUGUGAAGUCAAUGCAGACUCUUGUUUUCCCAUUCUUCUUUAAGACUGGCACUAUGUUGGCUAGCCAGUCUGGAGUAUCGACUUCUCUGAUGAAUCCGACCUGUUUGAGUCUACUGAUUUCUUCAUUGACUGCUUCGUGAAACUUGGGAGCGAGCCUUCUUGGUUUUUGCUUGACAGGUCGAUAAUUCGGAUUGACGCGCAGUUUAUGACAUGCAAUUGAUGGAUCUAUUCCAGGCAUAUCGAUAUACGACCAAGCAAAAACAUCUUUAUUAGUUGAAAGAAAAUUUACAAAGUUCUGGAACUUAUCUCCUUCUAACUCUGCACCUACAUAGACCUAUCUCGGGUCAUCUUCUGACCCAAGGUUCACACAUAUUCCUGGAUCAGUGCUUCCGAGAUUAAGUUUGGUUGAGCUCGUUGGCUCCUUCUGUAGUUGCUAUUUGGUAGCAUCGACCUUUUCUUUUGAAGGGCUUUUGGACUUGUUGUCGCCCUCUCGAGCCUCUGAUGAGAUUGGGCUCUUCCCUUUGACGUCAGCAUCCUUGGUUCCAGACGUGGAUGGCUUUGCAGGUGCCACAGCUUCAAUAAUUCCAUGGCAUUCCUGAGCAGCGUUCUGGUUACCACGAAGUUCCAUUAUGCCAUGAGGUCCGGGAUAGCGGAAAACUUGAUGAUAUGUUGACGGAACACCUCUCAUGGCAUGGAUCCAUUUUUGACCCAGAAUCGCAUUGUACUUACUUGCGAUGUUGAGGAUGCUGAACUUGGCAGUGACGACGACCUUAUCUUCCUUACGGCCCACAGUGACGGGCAGCAGAAUUUCACCCUUAGGAUCUUCCCUCGAGCUAUUGAAGCCUAGGAUGGGUGUGAAGUCAGGGAUGAGAACUGAAUCGGGCAACCUCAUGUCUUUGAAGGUUCUGUACAUGAGUAUGUUGCAGGAUGCACCAGGGUCAAUGAGUACCCUCUUAAUGAUGUAAUCAGCAAUUCGUAGUUCAACGACAAGGGCGUCGUUGUGAGGGGUGACGACCUUGUUGAGAUCGUCCUCUGUGAAUGUGAUGUCGGAUUCCUGGCGAGCCUGGAUGUUAAAGCGAGCUGCUCGGCCAGUAAUAGAGUAGACAUGAUGAAGAUGUUCUACCCUUCUCUUCUUGUCCCUCGAUACGGGGGUGGAGUCGGAUUCAUAAAUCAUGUAAACGACAUGACUUUCCGACUCGCUGUCGCUGUCAAUCUUGUUUGCGACCUUCUUGUUGAGCUGGUCGCGUAGGUCACCUGUUGGACCUAGACGUUGGGAGAGGCUACGCCCUCUACUGUGGACUGGACUUGCGGAGGCUGUUCUGGCCUUGCUGUGAUUCCUCAUUGGUGAACGGGGAGGGGUUCUGGAUCCCUUCCUCGCCCGCUUGCUUGUGGUAUCCUCUUGUUUUCCGAGGAUCCAAUUGUUGAGCCUUUUCUCAUCGGCCCAUGUUUGAAGAGCGCGUUUCAGAACGCUACAGUCAUCUGUUUGAUGACACCGUACCUUGUGGACUUUGCAGUACGGUCGACCAGAUGUGUCCUCCAACUGUGUGGAGGUCGGAAUCUUGCACCAAUGGUUGUGCUUGAUUCGCUCAUAGAUGUAACCGGCUGGUCUUGUGAACCCGUGAUACUCUCGUUGCUCGGUAGGCAACGACUUUGCUUUGAACCUCUUGUUAUCAGAUCGAGGUCGCUUGGUGAAGCUAGACUCUACAUUGCUGACUACAUGAUUAUUUUCCCUUCCAGUGAGGGCUUCCUCGAGCUUGAUGUAAUGGUCUACCUUUAAGUAGAGCUCGUCUAGGGAUGAAGGUCGCUUCAUGGCUAGAGAUUUGUAGAGGUCGGACCCCUGGAUCAGACCGUGAGAGAAUGCGAUGGUUGCGAAGGUCUCAUGCUCCUUUGCAAAAUCCUGAAUUGAAUGCAGUUCAGAUUUAAAACGCGCAAAGAAAGUGCUUAGUGACUCACCAUCCCGCUGCUUGACUUUGAAGAUUUGAUCGAUGGUGACGGGUCGCUUCUUGUUGUGGAUGUAGAAAAUGACAAACUACUUUUCGAGCUCGGCAAACGAGCUGAUGGAUCCUGAUUUCAAACGGUGAAACCAGUCGAGAGCAGGCCCAGUGAGGCUGGACUGGAACAGUAAACAUAGAAGAUGAUCUUCUUUGAUGAGAGGAAGGGAUUUUCGGAAUCCCUUGAUAUGGUCGGUUGGAUCUCCGACUCCUGCAUAUUGAUCGAACUUGGGGGCAUUGAGCUUGUUCGGCAAAUCAUGUUCAAGGAUCUCCUUGGAGAAAGGAGACUCCUGGAACUGCUGGAGGGACUGUACAGCAAGUUGCUCCGCAGUGUGGCUUUUGGAGUGAUGGAGGAUAGCCUGAGAGGCUUUAAACUCUGCUAACUGUUGGCUGAGUUGCUCGCAUUUCUGGUUGGAGUCAUCAACAGGAAUGACUCCACGACCACCAUUUUCUACUUGUGCGGGGCUGUCGGUUUGUGCAGCUUUCAAACGUGCAUUCUCUUCCUGCAGACGAGUGAUUUGUUCAUGCAGAUCCUGGAUGGUUAACUCUGGGGUAGUCAUUUGAGUGAUUUUGAUUUGGGUGGGAGGGUUUGGGUUUUUCGAUUAUAUCGAAUUCCUUGCAGUCGGCGCCAAAUGUAUUAACCUAUUUCUAGAUUAAUGCACUACUAGAUCAGGUCGUUGGGAGACUUGACCAAAGGGGAGGUUUUAGAUCGGGGUGGCUGCACCUCGUUGAGAUCGAGAUUGCCUACGUACUCUUAGCUCGAGGGAAUUGAACUUAGAGAUCAAGCCAUCGUAGUUUUGUUCUUAUAGAAGGUAGAAAGGCGUGGAUCGUGGAUCUUGCAGAUUCUUCGCCGUCAUAAUGAGGAUUGAUUGUGUAACGCGCGAGGAUCAUCCUUGUGAAUUAAUUAUGUAACUGACGAGGAUAUUCUGUGCAUUGAAUGAGAGCACGUGUGUAUAAGCAGGUCGCUGCUGGUUGCGUGGUCGGGUCGUUGCUGUCGAGCUACUAGCAGGUAGGGAUCAUGGCGACCUGAUGGUUGAAUGACUGUGCCACGUGGCUGCUUUUGAUUGGAUGGAGUAUGUAGUACCCCUACAACUUCCACACCACAUCUACCACCAUUACUUCUAAUUCCACCACCAAAAUAAUCUACUUAUUCAAUAAAAGACAACCUAGUGCUUGAAAACCACCAUUAUGACCAGAACAAGAAUGAAGAAGAAGAAGAUGAAGAAACAACAACAGUAGUAGUAGAAGUCGAGUUGUUCAACACAUUUCUUGAUUAACAUAUGAAGUAAUCAAACAGAGUUUUUUCUCCAAUUCAGAUCUAAAUGAUUUCCCCCCAAUUCUUUAUGGAUUGAUGAGAAUGAUUGAAGAAGAUAGAGAUUGUGACAUUGUAUUAAGCAAUUUUGAUUUUGAUUCAAACUAAUUUAAUGGGUGUGGUUUAGAUUCAAAUUCAAAGAAAUUUGAUAGUAGUGGUGGUGGUGGUGGUGUAGAUGUAGAUGUAGUGGUGGUGGUUGUGGGUUAGAUGUAGUGGUGGUGGUGGUGGUGGGGUAGAUGCAGACGUAGUGGUGGUGGUUGUGGGGUAGAUGCAGACGUAGUGGUGGUGGUUGUGGGGUAAAUGUAGUGGUGGUGGUGGUGGGGUUAAGAUUUGUUGGGUGUAGAUACAUUUUUGUUAUGUUAAGGGUUUGGUUAACAAGGCAUAUGGGAAGGGUAAUUUUAUCUAAAGAUGAUGAAGAUCAAUCAAACAUUAGUCAAUGGCUCAGUUGACCGGCUCCAGAUGAGUUUUUAGGGGGUAUCUCUAAUGAAAGCUUUUUUGGGGGGCAAUCGCAAAGAGUCCUAACUAUUUCGGGGGUAUCUCAAAUUUGCUCUAUCUUUUUCUAUUUCAUGUUCUAGUUGAUUUUUUUUUUAGUAAAACCUAUUUCUAUAUUAUUAUUCAAUUACCAGGUCUAAUUUGAUAAAAUAAAAAAUUCCUCUCUUCUGCAAUUUUGUGAAAUUUCAGUUAUUAAUUUUUUUCCUCCACUAGCACAUACAAGGGCAAUUUAGGUAUUAAUAUACAAUGGAUGGUUUGACCGUAGUCACCUCAAAUGACGAAAAUUAGACUAUUUGCUAAUAAACGAAAAACUCUAUACCACUUGCUAAAUAUGCAUCUUCUAGAGGGACCAAAUAUAAAAUAACCCUUCGUACAACAAUACUCUCAGUUCCAAGUCUCGAUAUUUCCUCUUUAUCUCCCCUAGGGGCGAUCUUCAAUCUUUUGGCAGGAUUUUUUAGAGAUUAAUGUCAUAUUAAACUUUGUAUAACCUCCUUAUCUGCUUCUAUCAAUUCUACUUUUAGCGUAGCCACCUCAUCCCUCAUACAUUGAAUAACGUUAUCUCUAUCUCCCUUAGCCACCUUAUAUUCUUCUUACUAUACAAAGAAAAGCUGGUGUUAUUACUUGGCAUCAGAAGCUUAAGUUUGCUUCAUCGACAUCCUCUUCUGUGAAACAAUCACCUUUAACUUUUUGCAGGCUACAAAUUUUUACUUGAUCAUCAAUUCAUGCCACUUGGUGUUAACUGCUACGGUAGCCUCACGGUAUCAUGAAUUCUUAAUUAACUUUUAUUUCAAAUUGGGUGUGUAUGUGUUUAGAGACGGGGAGUUUUAACUUUCAAUUUAAAAUAUAGUUUUGUGUCUAUAUGCGAUCAAAUCAAAUCACGAUGUUAUAUUGAAGUGAAUUAUUAUAAAACUCAAAUAGCUAAGGUGAUAAAAAAAAAUUAACAUCAAUCAAGUAGUAAAGCAAACAUUUUGUUCUUGUUUCCAAAUAACAAUAUACACAUCUUCUUUAUGGGUACAAAUUACUGUGGACGACUAAUAAUCUACAUGGGUACAUAUUACUCCCUCCGUCCCAAAUUAUAAGUACCUUUUGGAAUAUUCUACUUAUUAAAGAAACAUCAUUUAUUGUUUGUUUACUAACUCUACUUCCUAAUUUACCCCUAUUUAAUACUAAUUAGAAUGCCUAACUUUUUAUUAGAAUAAUUACUCUAAUCUCAAAGCAAGGGUAGUAUAGACAAAUGAACCAUUUAACUUAAUUAAUAUGUGCUCAAAAAUCAAAAGCGACAUAUAUUUUGGGACAAUCUAAAAUGGAAUAAGGUACUUAUAAUUUGGGACAGAGGGAGUAAAUAACAAUACAUGGAUGAAAACUGGAGAUAGAUCUCACAUGUACUUGCUAAGAUAUUUUUGCAAUUUCUCUUUUAACUCCAUGCAUUAGUGCACGCUCUAACAGAGUUAUUCCAACUGAUUGUGAAUCUUAUCCAGUAAGUAGUGAGUCCUGGUGGAAAAAGCCUAUGCUACUCACUGGUCGAGUUACUGAAGAUAAUAUGUUGUUGAUGUAUGUUACUAGGAAUUUAUUUGAUGACUGUAAGCUUCUGGUUGUUGGGUAUAGGUCGUUUGUAGUGGAUUAUUUUGUUAUUUGGUUGCUGACAUUGUUUGUUUCUUUUGCAACAAUAAAAGAAACCUUCCUGGUAAAGCAUAGUGACCUUGACGCUGUCUUGAACGUGUUUGGUUCCUGGUCGAACGAAAGAAAACUUAAGCUAUUUCCUCACCUGAAGGAUUACUUCACUCCCAAGGGUGGUCCUAAAACCGUUGCAGACGAGUUGGAGAGGAUGAAAGCUUUGAGAAAGAACUUUUUGGAUGCGAUGAAGAAGACAAGUCCUAGUGAGAAGGCCCGAGCUCCUGGUAGCUCGAAGCUUAAUGAUUCUUUUGCGAACCCGCAGAUCGUUACACCACCGACCUCUUUUCCAAAGUUGCCUGCUAGAUUAAGUAGGAAGAGGUCGUCGUCUGGUACUUUGAAAUUGAUGGAACAACUUCCAGUUAUCCCUUCUUCUGUUCAUUUUAAACCUAUGAAGGUUUCUGAACCUACUCCCUUGUCUCGAAAGUGUGUUGUUCGUUACUCUGGUAAGGGUAAGGGUGUUUCAUCUGAAUUUCGACCUGGUUUUUUUGAGUACUUAGAUGGACAGGGCGGUAAGCACGUGAUGUUUGAUAAUGAGAGUGCAAUAGAUGACCCCUGUGUUGCCUGAGCUAUUAACGAAAACAUUGUUCUGGAUGCUGAUGCUCGAAUGGUUAAGUCUUAAAGUCUUCUUGUGACCUGCUCAAAAAUCAACUCUACUCUUUCUCCGGUGAGUAAAUGUUACUUAUGGUAGUUCGUCUGGUCGAAUAUUUUGCUUGAUGUGUAACUUUUAGUUCUUUGUAGCUUAAUGCUACCUUCCAGGAAGUUCGUCUGGUCGCCUAGGUUUGUGUUGUUGUAUAUUGGCUUGCAACAGUUGGGGUGCACAGGAUCAUACAUAAUAAGAGGUGUGAUCCAUAGGAUCAGUUCCUAUAUUGGUUAAGGAAACCAUAUAUGACGGUAUAGAUAACUUUACACUAUGGCAAAGGAAGAUGAGAAACGUUUUGAUCCAAUAAGAUCUUCAUGUGGUUCUUGACGGGAAAAUAAGAAGCCAAAGGACAUGUCAGAUGACGAGUGGAACAAAGCAGAACUCAAAGUCAUGAGUUCCAUCGAACUACAUAUCUCAGACGAGGUGAUGUUUAAUGUGAUGGAGGAAACUUUUGCCAAAGGAACAUGGGAAAAGCUUGAGAAGUUGUAUAUGGGUAAGUCUUAUCCAAUAAACUUUUCUUAAAAAAUGAACUCUUGAAUCUUCGGAUGGAAGAAGGUGGUGAUCUUAUGGAACAUCUAAACGUGUUCAAUAAGUGCAUCACAAAUUUGCUACGGGUGGAUGUGAAGUAUGACGAUGAAGAUAAGUCUCUGUUCUUGCUCAGAUCUUUGCCUCCAUCUUUCAAGCACUUCAGGACCACAUUGAUGUUCGACAAGGAUACUUUAAAGUAUGAUGAAGUUGUUCAAGAUAUAAUCUCUCAUGUGAAGAUGAAUAAGAACACAAGUGAAGACUCUCAAGCAGAAGGACUAUAUGUCAAGAAUUCUAAUGAGAGGGUCCGAACAAAUAAAAGAAGUAGCAAAUCAAAAGGCAGGGGCAGAUCUAAAUCCAGGGAUAAAGAAGGUUGCUUUGAAUCUGGUGCGACAGACCACUGGAAACGAGAUGUAAGACAUAUAAGGAAAGAAGAAGAAAACCAAAAAUUCAAAUUCAGCCAGCGUUGUUACAGAUGAUAGCGACGAAAAAAUUUUAGUGACUUCUUCAGGUAAUGAUAUUUCUUCGCCUUGGAUUUUAGAUUGUGGCGCUUCUUAUCAUAUGUGUUCAAACGAAGGCUGGUUUGACACGUUUGAGGGGGAAAAAAAAGCGACGUAGCUUUUAUGGGGAAUAAUUCCAGUUGUAAAGUUUGUGGAAUCGGUACGGUAAAGUUGAAGAUGCAUGAUCAAAUUGUUAGGACUCUGGGCAACGUGAAAUACGUUCCUGCACUAAGGAAGAAUCUUAUUUCCCUGGGUUAUUUGAAUAAAAAUAGGUACACAUACAAAUCCAAAUAUGGGAAUCUCAUAGUCUCAAAGGGUUCACUUGUGGUUAUGAGAGGAGUAAGACUUUCUAACAAUUUGUACAAGCUUUUGGGAAAUACAGUAAUUGGUGGAGCUGCAGUUUCUACACAAGAAGAUCGCAUUCAGCUUUGGCACUUGGGGCUAGGGCAUAUGAGUGAAAGAGCCAUGGAAGAACUACAGAAGCGACAAUUGUUGAAUGGUGUAGGUGAGUGUAAACUUGAGUUCUGCAAGUAUUGUAUUAUGGGAAAACAAACUAAAGUACUCUUCAAAGUUGCAGAUACAAAGAACAGAAGUACAGAAGUACUUAACUAUAUUCACUCAGAUGUGUGGGGGCCUUCACCUACUCAAUCAAAAGGUGGAGCUCGUUAUUUUCUCACAUUCAUGGAUGAUUUUUCGUGAAAAGUUUUGGUUUACUUCAUGAAGGAGAAAUCCAAAGUUUUCACUAAAUUCAAGGAGUGGAAGGCAGAGGUAAAGAAUCAUACAUGCAGAAAAAUCAAGUAUCUAAGAAUUGACAAUGGCGGUGAAUAUAAGGAUAGGAAGUUUCUACAGUAUUUCAAAGAUGAAGGUAUUGCAAGGCAUUUUACCGUGAAGAAGAAUCCCCAACAGAAUGGAGCUGCAGAAAGGAUGAAUAGAACUCUUAUGAAUAAAGAGAGGUGGAUGAGGUUUCAUGCAGGUCUGCUAGAGAUUUUUCUGAUUCUCAAAGAAUGAAGGGCAAAGGGAUUGAUUGAGGAAGAUCUCUUGUUCUUAUUAGAUUAGAAGAUUCAGAUCGUGAUUGGGCAGAGUCCCUUAACCAUGCUUGUCACUUGGUUAAUCGUUCACCAUGCAAUUUGCUUGAUUUUAGAUGUGCAAAAGAGGUAUGGUAAGGUAAACCGGUAGACUACUCUAUUUUGAAGGUAUUUGGAUAUAGUGCAUAUGCUCUUAUUCCCAGUGAUGAGAGAACCAAACUUAAACCCAAAUCUCAUGAAUGUCGUUUCAUCAACUUCGAGAAGGGAGUGAAGGGUUAUUAGUUAUGGGAUCCAGUGAACCGAAAGAAAAUCCUUAGUAGAGAUAUUGUGUUUGAUGAAAAGACUAUGCCUAUGAAUCAAGACAUGAAGAAUGUUCAUAAGAAAACAACUACAGAUAUAUCUCCUCUUACUAAGGUAUCCAAUAGGGAGACUCUUAUUCAGGUGGAAGGAUCAGAUGCAGGGGUUGAAGAGGAUGGGCCAGAACAACAACAGUGUGAAAAGAAGGUUGAAUCUAAUAAAGAUAAACAACAACAUUAAAGCAUAGCAAAGAACAGGGGCCAAAGACAAGUCAAAGCACCUAUUAGAACCCAUCGAGGAAGAAGUUCAUUGUGCUUUAAGCAUUAGUGAAGGUGAUCCUACUUCUUAUCGUGAAACAGUUGAAAGUAACGAAAGAGAAGAGUGGAUUGAAGCUAUGGCUGAAGAGAUGAAAUCUCUAUACAAGAACUCCUUUUGGGAGUUAAUUUCUAAACCCACAGAAAGAAAAAUUGUUGGCUGCAUGUAAGUGGGUUUACAAGAAGAAAGAAGGAAUGCAUGAGAAAGAACUGAUCGGACCUCAAAAGUGUAUAUUUAUCCCCCAAAUAACAUUUUUUUUGUCUAGCACUUAGCUUAUAUUAUUGUAUUAUAUCUAUUGAUUAGUGCUUUCUUGUCUUUUGUGUAGGUUUUAUGAGCCGAAAUGCGAAUAUUAUGUAAAAGCCCGUGAAAAGUCGAGAAAAGCAAGCAAAAAGGUGUGAUUGGCACAAGGGAAGAAGAAUGGAUAUUUGCACCCACAAAAAGGUCAACCGUUGACUUUUGUUGACUUCGGUCAACCGGUGACUUCUGCUGACUUCUGUCAACUGUUGGACUCUGCUGACUUUCGUCAACUAUUCACUUUCGUUGACCUGUCUUUCUAUUUUGGGUCUUAAUCUUAAAAGGCUCCACAAGAAGAUCCAGAAGUCCGAUUUGGGCCCAUGAGGUAUCAAAUUGAAGGUCUUGGCCCAAGCUACAUGUCAAGCCCAAGAGAAUUAGGUUUUGCUGAUUGCCUAAUCACUCUAGGAGACCAACAGCAGCAGCCACGAAUUUCACCAAGUUUGGAAGUCUUUGCAUGCAAAUAUUCUACUUUGUAAUGUUUAUAUAAGAGAAGUUGUAACUAGGGUUUAUUAUCUUUUAGCCUCCACUUUAAGAUCAAAUUUCAUUGAAGAAGAGUUGAUCUUCUUCUUCAUUGUACUCAAUUCAUUAUUCAAUAUCAAUCCAUUAAAUUUCAUUAUGAUGUUUUAUGAUUUAUUUAUUUAUUCCUUUGGUAUGAGUAGCUAAAUCUUCAUGGGGGGAUGGUGGAAGCUUUCUAGGUGAUGUAAAAGUAUCAUGUUUCUUCUUCUUGUUCAUUGUGAUUCAAAGUUCUUAAUGCUUAUUUACUUCUAAUUCGCGAUAUAAGGUAAGUAUGAUUAUUUACAUGCUAUUGUUAUCCAUGGUGUUAAAAUAUUAUUGUUAGGGUUUAGGGAGAUCUAGCUUUAAUGGUAGUAUUUAUAUUUAUUGUAGAUAUGUAGUGAAAUAGCUGAGAGGUGAUUAUUACAUGUUUAUGAUAUUUAUCUUUUAUUGGAACCCUUUUGUGAUUAAAUCAAAUAGCUGAGAGGUGAUGAUUUAAUUAUGAAUAAUAUGUUGAGUUAAUUGGAUUCAAUAGCUGAGAGGUGAGGGUGUAAUUAAUGAAACAUAUUCAAUAACAUGCAUAAUAGAAUCCCGUUUUAAUUAGGUGGAAUAGCUGAGAGGUGACUACUUGAUUAUUAUAGGUAUUAAUAACUAGUUGGAAAAACUGAGAGGUGACUUAUUGGUUAUUAUAGAUUGAACAUGAAGAACAACAUGAUAUGAUUGCAUGAUUUAGAUUGUGGAUACCAACUACCCCCCCUAUGUCAUCAUAUAUCUUCUUUUCCAUAUCUUCCAUAUUCUUAAGUUAGGAUUUAUUAUUUAUUAUUGCCCGUAGGAAGUAGAAUCAAUCAUUCAUCUUAUUUAUUGAUUCUCUUGGUGUUUCUUAAUUAUUAUUCUUAAUUGUGUUUGAGCUAAGAUCUCCCCCUCUGAGGUGGGUACGACCCUUGCUUGUUACUUGUCUACUUUGAUCUUCAAUUUAUACCAAUAAGGAACUUCAAGUAAAAAUCUAAUCUUUUGAUAGUAGGAUCGUUUUCUUACACAUCAAGAACCACCAAAGUUCAAAGGAUGUUUGGUGGCGAAGGUGUACUCGCAGAAGGAAGGAGUGUAUUAUGAUGAAAUUUUCUCUCCAGUAGUGAAACAUACUUCUAUUAGAGUGUUACUAUCACUGGUUGCUCAGCAGGAUAUGGAGCUUGAACAGUUAGAUGUCAAAACUACUUUUCUCCAGGGUGAAUUAGAGGAAGUCAUCUACAUGGAUUAACCUCAGGAUUUUGUUGAAGCUGGUAAGGACAAUCUGGUUUGUAGGUUGAAGAAGUCUUUUUACGGGCUCAAACAAUCUUCAAGGCAAUGGUACAAACACUUCGAUUCUUAUAUGCUGAACAUUGGGUAUAGAAGAUGUCACUAUGAUUGUUGUGUGUACACUCAUUUGUUCGAUGAUGGGAUGGUGAUCCUAUUGCUACUUUAUGUAGAUGACAUGUUUAUUGCUUAUCGGGAUAUGUCUAGAAUUAAGGAUCUAAAGACGUUAUAAAGCAAGGAAUUCGACAUGAAGGAUCUUGGUUCAGCACAAAAUAUCCUAGGUAUGGAGAUAAGGAGAGACACGAAAGCGGAAAAGUUAUGGCUGUCACAAGUCAAGUACAUUCAAAAGGUACUUGAACGCUUCAAUAUGAUUGAUGCAGAUCAUGUGUCACCUCCUUUGAACAACAGUUUUGUUUUCAAUAAAAGUCAAUGUCCUUCCACAGAUGCUGAAGUAGAAGAGAUGAAGAAGAACCUGUAUACAAGCGCAGUAGGGUGUCUCAUGUACUCAAUGGUUUGCAUAAGACCUGAUUUAGCUCAAGCACUAAGUGCAGUAUCGAGAUACAUGGCGAAUCUGGGAAAGCCACACUGGAAAGUUGUGACAUGGAUUCUCAAGUAUUUGAAGGGCACUAAAACGUUGGGUAUCUUGUUUGAAAGACAGCAAGGGAAAACAUGUGUUUCGGAUUAUGUGGAUGCUGAUUAUGCAGAAGAUUUAGAUAAGCGAAGAUUCACCACAAGGUACAUCUUCACUUAUGGUGGAUGACUGGUUAGUUGGAGAUCAAUGCUUCAAAUGGUUACUGCUUUAUCUACUACUGAGGCGAAGUAUAUGGCAGUAACAGAAGCUUGCAAGGAAGCUAUUUGGCUGAAGUAGUAAGCACAUUCGGGUUAGAUCAAAGUUCUAGGAUGAUAAGAUGUGACAAUCAGAGUGCUAUUUGCCUUAAGAAGAUUAAAUGUUUCAUGCAACAAUGAAACAUAUUGAUAUUCGCUAUCAUCGGAUUCGGGAUUUGUUGGACUCGGGUAAAAUUACAGUUGAGAAGGUUCACACGAUAAGAAUGCUUCAGAUUGUCUUACUAAGGCGGUUUCAGUUGAGAAGUUCAGACAUUGUUUGAACUUCCUCAAUCUUUCUGCAUGCUAAAGAAUGCGUGAAACAUCACCUCCUCACUUGAGGUGCGUUUAGGCAAGAUGAUUAUUGCCAAUGUGAUGGUGCUUGAAGAAAUUCAAGCUGCAAUGAUCUUGUUUUUUGGUCGAUGACUCGCCAAGGUGGAGAUUGUUGUAUAUUGGCUCGCAACAGUUGGGUGCACUGGAUUAUACCUUAUAAGAGGUGUGAUCCAUAGGAUCAGUUCCUAUAUUGGUUAAGGAAACCAUAUAUGUGCAGGAGUUCUUAUUGGACUCGGUCUCCUACACUACACCAAAAGUGGAUAUUAGUAACGUUUAUACAUGUUACUGUAUUUUUCCUAACGCACAUAAAACGUGACUAUUUGGGCGUUCCAAAUAUUUUGUAACGUUUAUAAGCGUGAGCAAUGGGUUUGUUAGUAACGCUUAUAAUCGUUAGUAAUCAGAGAACUUAGUAACGUUUAUAAACGUUAGGCAUCGAUCUUAAAGUAACAUCUAUAUAUGUUACUAAUGUCAUUGCAAUGGUUGUUUCUAAUCGGAGACUUACGUUAAAUAAACUCGAUUGCAACGGUUAUAAGUGUUACAAAUCAUUGACAAAUUAAAUAAAAAAAUUAUUUUUCUGUAAAGCCGAACAAUCUGUAUUCAUUACUAAAAAAAAAAAAAUACUCUGCUGUAUAUCCAUUGCACAUAACUAUAUAUUCAUUCCAACCACAAAUCAAAGCGUCUGACAUUCAUCACAUUAACUCAAGUAUAUAUUAGAUAUAAUUGUUACAACUUUACGACAUUCAUCCCAUUAACUCAACUAAAAGGUUGUAAAACAAAACUUACACUCCUGAUCAACAUGCAGGCAACUGCACCGUCAGGUUAGAACUCGAAGAACAUUUCCUCUUAAUACAAUAGUUAUCCCACCCCCAUGUUGGAUUCUUUGGACGGAGGGAACUUUUUUGUUCAGGAACGUACGUACGCAGUUAGGACGUUCGUACGUUCCAUUCGACAGAUGAUUUUAGGGGGAAAGAACGUACGUACGUAGUUAGGGCGUACGUACGUCCUGGAUCACAGAUGACUUCCCCGUGUAGCUCAACGUACGAACGUCAAUUCAACGUACGUACGUCCUCUCUUGGUUUUGUGUAUAUGGGCCUGUUUAAGCCCAUUUCAUGUGUGUUUGUAUGGCUAUGUUAUAAAGCCAAUUGAGAAGGUUGGAAAACCUAAUCUUCAUGUGAGAGAGAGAUUGUGAGAAGCCAUUGGUGAGUUUGAGAGAACUCUUGUGAGGAAGAACACUUUGGUUUCUUCGUGAAGGCUUGUAUAAUCGUCUCUAUUUGGAAGAUUGUUGUUUUGGUCGUGGACGUAGGCAAUAUUAGCCGAACCACGUAAAUCUUGUGUUUUGUGUUUGUUUUGUUUUUUUGCCUUGUUUGAUUCACACACUAUUUCAAUUUUGGAUAUUCGUGCAUAAGUUUCCGCUGCGCACAACAAGUGGCAUCAGAGCUGCAGGCUAGAUCUUGAGAGCCUUGAAGGUAUUUGAAGAAAUUUCUGCAGGUGAGUUUCUUAUUUGUGGUUUAAGGCAAAAGUUCUAUCUUGUAUCCGUGGGUUGUCAAGAAGGUGUUUGUUGAAAUUCCAGUGUGAAUUUCAGAUUUGUUUACCUUCGAUUGGUGAUUGUUUAGUGUGUGAAAGUGAUUAGUGAUGUCAGACCCAUCUUCGAGUAAGAAUGGAAGAGUGUCAUCUUUGAAGUUUGACAUCGAGAAAUUCAAUGGUAGAAACAACUUCGGCAUGUGGCAGUGCGAAGUUCUGGAUUUGCUUGCUCAGCAAGGUUUGGAAGAUGCUUUGGGUGAAAAACCCGAAAAGAUGAAAGAAGAUGAUUGGUUGAAGUUGAAUAGGCAAGUUUGUGGCGUGAUUCGCCUUUGUUUGGAAAAGGACCAGAAAUACUCGGUGAUGAAAGAAAAGUCUGCUAAGGAGUUGUGGAAGAAACUGGCUGAUAUGUAUAUGAAGAAAAGUUUAGAAACCAAGUUGUUUCUGAAGAAGAGGAUCUUCCGCAUCGAUAUGAGACCUGGUAUUUCUUUGUCUGAACAUCUGGAUAAAUUCAAUAGGCUUAUUGCUGACCUAUUGAAUUUGGAUGAGGUUGUCAGUGAUAAUGACAAGUCUCUAUGUCUUUUGAACUCUCUCCCCGAUGAAUAUGACCAUUUGUCCACCACUUUGUUGACGGGGAAAGAAUCUGUUAAGUAUGCUGAUGUAGCAACGACGUUACUGAACUAUGAAUGCAGGCGCAAGGACAAAGAAGUCCAUAGGGGUUCAGGUUCAACGUCCGAGGCUUUGAUGGUAAGGGGACGAUCCAAUGAUCGUACUACUGGUAGCGGAUGAGAUCUCGAUCAAGUCUAGAGGUAACCUCUAGCAAAGGAUGAGUGUGCCUUUUGUCAUGGAAAAAGGCCAUUGGAAGGUUGAUUGUCCCGAGUUGUCAAAGAAGGAAGAUUCUGUGUCUUCCAAAGAUAAUAAGGUAAAUGUUGCACAUGCUGAUGAUAGUGAUGAUGAUUCAAAUUAUUCUUUGGCUGUUAUGGUUGAUUGCUCCACUCAAGGUUGGAUUAUGGAUUCUGCAUGUUUUCACUAUUUGUGUCACAGUAGAGAUUUGUUUGCUAGUUUUUAAAAGCUAGACUGUGAUGAUGUUGUGUUAGGUGAUGGUCGUCACAUGAAAACACUUGGUGUGGGGACUAUCAAGUUGAAGUUGGAGAAUGGUACAGUUAAAGAAUUAGUUGGUGUCCGGUAUGUUCCGGAGUUGAAGGUGAAUCUCAUCUCUCUUGGAACUUUAGAGUCUGAUGGUAUGAAGAUUGUUCUGCAAAAUGGGGCUUUAAAGGUUGUUUCUGGUGCUUUAGUUGUUAUGAGAGGGACAAGGCAACGAAAUUUGUACUAUCUUAACGGUAGUGUUGUUGGUUGUGGUGGAGAUUCUUCUUCACAUUUGGUGGAUUGUUUGACUCCUCCCAGUUUGUCAGAUUGUUUGGUUGAUUGUGGCUUUGGUAGGCGUACCGGCAAGCAUGGCUUGUUGAAUGGUGGUAAGGUACGUAAAGUUUGUUUUGGGCAUCCUUGUUUGAAUGAUAGUUUGAAGUUGGAAGAGAUAUCUUAGCAGGUGGAGAUUGAUGCCGCUCCUUAUGAAAGUUUGUCUGGUAACACAGCUGAUGUUAGUUUGCUAGCCACAGAUGUUUGUUUGAAGGCUCAAGCCCAUGAGCCAAUUGGAGUUGUGAAGCCGUUGUUUGGAGACCUUUGUAGGUUUCGGGGUGUUGAUUCAUACUCAUCUUCAGUCGGUUAUGGUCAUAAAGUGGAAAUAGGAUUUGGUAGUUUGGACCCCAUUGUUUUGGAUUAUGGUUGUUGGCCCUCUACGGGCAUUGGUGGGCAUUUGUUUUGAUUUGGCCCCUUGUGGGAAUUUGACCCUUCGGGGUAUGGUGGGCAUCGCAUAGAUGCCAUUGGAGUGAACUACGGUGGUUUGAUCCCUUAGAAGAAGGGUACGUAGGCAACCAUGAGGUGGUGCAACCGCUUUGGUCCUUCGGGACAAGUAUGGAAGUUUGGGACUUGGUGUCGGCUUAGGUUUAUUGAAUCUUCGCCGAGGUGGAGAAUUGUUGGAUUUUUUGGACGGAGGGAACUUUUUUGUUCAGGAACGUACGUACGCAGUUAGGACGUUCGUACGUUCCAUUCGACAGAUGAUUUUAGGGGGAAAGAACGUACGUACGUAGUUAGGGCGUACGUACGUCCUGGAUCACAGAUGACUUCCACGUGUAGCUCGACGUACGAACGUCAAUUCAACGUACGUACGUCCUCUCUUGGUUUUGUGUAUAUGGGCCUGUUUAAGCCCAUUUCGUGUGUGUUUGUAUGACUAUGUUAUAAAGCCAAUUGAGAAGGUUGGAAAACCUAAUCUUCAUGUGAGAGAGAGAUUGUGAGAAGCCAUUGGUGAGUUUGAGAGAACUCUUGUGAGGAAGAACACUUUGGUUUCUUCGUGAGGGCUUGUAUAAUCGUCUCUAUUUGGAAGAUUGUUGUUUUGGUCGUGGACGUAGGCAAUAUUAGCCGAACCACGUAAAUCUUGUGUUUUGUGUUUGUUUUGUUUUUUUGCCUUGUUUGAUUCACACACUAUUUCAAUUUUGGAUAUUCGUGCAUAAGUUUCCGCUGCGCACAACACCCCAUACAAAGAAACAUAGUAAAAACACUUACAGUACGUAAACUCUAGUAUUCUUCUAGUCCAAAUGCUCCCUGUCAAUCUCCAGGACUGACUCUUGACAGUUCACCCUCAAUUGCAUCCUCUGUACCCAGUUUACAUUUUCCUGCAACUGCAAUAUCUUUCCAGAAUGCAUGCUUUUCCAAUAUACAUUCUGCUACAAUAUCAUGUCAAUCCAGAUGUUUUUCUGGUCUACAUUCAGCAAAAUAGAACAUGCACUGAUGAUGUGGGGGCAAUAGUUGUAGUCUGAAGAAGUUCCUCAAACUCAACUCCUUCUAGUUCGUUAAGCUCUGCUUCGAAUUCGUCCUGUGAAAUAUGUUCCACAAGAAAAACAAAUGAAACAAAUUUAAGAAACUUCAAUUUUGUAUGUCCAAUUAAUGUAAUUACUCAUAGCAACCUCAUUAACCAGAAAACCAAUCAACAUGAGUACACCUAUUAGAAAAAAGGCAGGAUAAAGACCAACUCCCACUACACAAUACAUAUGUCAAGCCUUUUUAUCAAAGCCAGGGAUGUAUGUAUAAUAGGUGUAGAUAACUGUGUCCAUGAUUUUACCAAAAAAAAAAAAAAAAACUCUAAAUGUGGUAGUGUACCAUUAAGGGAUCCAUGGGUCCCAAAUAAUGUCAGUUCUUUUUAAAGUAAACUAUGUGAAUAUGCACGCUUAUGCGUGCUGCAUAAGUGGUUAUAUUAUUGGGUAUGGGCUUGGACUUUUAUAUAUAGUCUGCUCAUAAUUAAGAUAAGAGUAAAACCGAAUUUAUCAGUAUCUAUUUGUAUAAGUAUUAUUAGGUAUGGGCCUGGGCUUUUAUACAACUUGCUUAUAAUUAACGUAAGAGUAAAAUCGGAAUUAUUAGCAUUGGGUAUGGAUUUGGACUUUUAUAUGGCCUAUUUAUAAUUAAGGUAGGGGUAAAACCGAAAUUAUCAGUCUUGGGUAUGGGCUUGGGCUUUUAUAUAGCCUGCUUAUAAUAAUUAAGAUAAGGGUAAAACCGUAAUUAUAAGUAUUGGAUAUGGGCCUGGGCUUUUAUACAAUCUAUUUAUAAUAAUUAUGAUAAGGGUAAAAUCGUAAUUAUAUGUAUAGAUAUGUGUGUGUAAAAUUGUAAUUAUAUGUAGAGAUAUGUGUGGGUAAAACUGUAAUUAUAGGUAGUGAUAUGUGUGGGUAAAAUUGUAAUUAUAUAUGUAGAGAUAUAUGAGGGUAAAACUAUAAUUAUAGGUAGUGAUAUGUGUGGGUAAAAUUGUAAUUAUAUAUAUAGAGAUAUAUAAGGGUAAAACUGUAAUUAUAUGUAGAGAUAUGUGUGGGUAAAACUGUAAUUAUAUAUAGAGAGAUAUGUGUGUGCUGUGUGUGACACGUAGGGCUUCGUGAACGCCUCGUCAAGGAGGCGCCUUAGAAAGUAGUAGAGAUAUAUAGACAAAAGAAAAAAAAAUUACUUAUCUUACUAAGAAUCCGCACAUAUUCUGGAAGCAGGUAGAUCCACACUUGAAAAAUCUGGACUACCACAAUUUGAAACCAAAUACCUGCACAAAUGUACCUCAAAAAUUCAAAUAGUCAAGAUGAUUUAGAUUAUGUGUAACUAAAAACAAAAUAAAAUGUAAAUACUAGAAUUUAGAUUACAUAGCCAAAAUCUUUUCAUCAUAACCUUAAGUCUUCUUAGUGGCAGCACCUAGACAACCAAAGAAUUAAGUUAAAAGAUAUGCAAAAAAAAAAAACAACCUACAGGUGUCAGAUGGCUGUAUAAGAAGCUAAACCGGGAGCAUCUGAGCGUUAGCCAGCCAGGCUUGAGCUAUUGGGUAGGGCCCAACCCGGUCUCAAGGGAUCCACAGAUGCUCUGUCGACCUUGACCCAUCGGAUAGUCCACAAUCAAUGGGUGGAGCCCCGGUUACUGUAUAAGAAGUUGAACUGUGGGCUCCCAUACAUCGACCAAGCCCACCACAGUCAAGUAGGCUAGGUCCGACUCAGUAAAGUCCAGCAGCGACAGAGGCUCAUCCAAGGGCUUAGCAUAGAAGCCCAGAGAACCUGGCUAGGGUGUAUGCAAUGAAGAUUGGGCCUCCGAUUAGAGGAGUCAAGCCCAAACCUUAGCUUCCAGACUUGGUCAAUCCAAGUCCCAACCAACUGGAUAAGUCCAGCUAGAUUCCAGGCUAACAAAACCCAUUGUUCUAGCCCGUUGAAGAAGAUAAAAAGAAGAUCUGAGUUGAACCAGAGCCUAUCAGAGGAUGCCACGUGGCAGUCAUCCUGGUCAAAGGGAAUUCAAACCAAAGGGAUAACCGCUCAGCAGCAUGCAAGCUAUCUCUACGGAAAACAUCUUCAUAGUUGAACUACUUGAGUUCAUGGAGUCAAAACCAGAGGAGUGGUUGAGCCAGCCUCCUCCGGUCUACUACAAAUACAGGAGUCCUUAACCUCCUGAACUACAAGUCUUUCACUGAGUAACUCCAUUAGAGCUUAGUCGAAGCAAAGACUUGAUUCCAAGUUCAUCUUCUUGGAUACGUAGGCAGCCUGAUCCUCAUUAGGUCAAGUCUCAUUGUACACCCACAUCUAAUCUCUGUCUAUACAAGGCUUUCAUUGAAACUGUUUGAUUAAUCAAUACACAUCUCGAGUUUGUGGAUCAAAUUUUUGCACCCACAAUAUGUCCUUGGGUGGAUCCUACACUCUUUUGGGAUCGAAGCCUGUGUCUUUUACUUGGUGUCACGAGGGCAUGGUUGUGAUUCUUAAUAACCUUUGACACACGCCAUUUUUUUUUUUUUUCGAACAACCGUGAUGGCCUUACAACCUGUCCUCGUGUCAGCUCUAUUUUUUAUCCUUUCUUCAACUGCUUUAGGUCUAGGAUCUCUCAUGCCUUCAAGGGAACAACAAAAAGUACGACCAAUUAUCUCCGAAGUAAUUCUUGAUCUAUUUGUUUUUCUCUUUCGAAUGCUAAAACCCAUGUUAGCUGCAUAACGAUUGUAAAAGUUAUAUGCUUCUUCGUGUGAAUUGAACUCCAUCCCAACAGAAAGACAUUGUACAUGUCUGUCCGUUUUAUUCAUCACAUACUCCUCAUCUGCACCAUUUUCGCACAUCGGUUUAUUUUCAUCUCUUGUGAUGUUGAUAUAAAAUUUCUCACUUUCAUCAUAUUGAAUGUGGCUGUCAUCAACCACAUUGCUUUCACAUACCAUUCUAGAGCUAGAAAAACGUCAACAGAUGUAUAAAUAAAAAUUGAAAAAAAAUAAAAAUAAAUAGAAAAUCAUAGUAUUAUAAAUGUAGUUUUCAAAAAACAUUGAACAACUAGAUUAAUUUAACCUAAUUAUUUUAAAGAUUGUCAAAUAAAAGAUAUAGAUAGACGGUAGUUUCAAUUAAUACUCAGCAAAAUAAAAAGAAAAGUAAAACAAACCUUAGAAGAAAGAUGAAGUGUUUCAACGGUUUUUCACAGAAAAAAUAACUUUUAAGGUUUUGAUAUGACUAAAGUGAAGGAGAACUGGAGAAGAUCAGAAACAGAAAUGAAGAGGAGAGAGAGAAAAAGACGGAGUCACAAGUUAACGAUUUGCUUUAUUAAUUUUUAUUUUUCUUUUCUAUUUUUAGUUGGUCCAUGUAUAUUCUCGAAAUUAGAUUAAUAGAUCUAUCCAACAAUUAUAGACUGACUUCACGUGGUAAAGUGUGAGACGUAACCUGUGCUAGUCGGACUCUUAUGUUAUUUGUAAAUAUAUUUAGUAAUUAUAUAAUAUAUACCCUCCCUGAUCUUUGUAACUCAAAAUUUUGCCCGGAUUUGGUAUUUUAAUCAGGGUAUAAAUAUCCUGAUUUAUCAGUGUAUGUUUGUUCUCUGUCAAAGAAGGAGAGUGACAGAGAAUUAUCAUGUUAUAAGAAAAUCUAUCUUCAAGAAAAUUACUUUUCUUUCUUCAAUCUAUCUUCAAGAAAAUCUAUCUUCAAGAAAAUUACUUUUCUUUCUUCAAUCUAUCUUCAAGAUAAUCUCUCUCAAGAAGACCUAGAUCUUAACUUUAUGCCUUACUUAACCUACUUAUUAUUCUCUAUAUCAUGGUUUUAUAUAGUAGCCUUACAAGAGAAUUAGGUUUUACCACAUCAUGGGCCCAAAAUAGGCCCAUAGACACUUUACCGUCCAGAGGCAAUAAAUUUAUUAGAACUGCUGUCCCAAGGCACUUUCCUUGUCAGAACUUCAGAGGCAAUUUUCAAGCAAACUACUGCGAACCAGAAGUUCUGCUAUAUACCAUUGGAAAGCUGAGAUCGUCCCCUUUCCAACCCAGCAAAAUGAUCGAUAUUACUAUCACUGAGCAGAAAGUUAUAGCUAUUCCAGUACAUAUUAUCUAACUGAAUAUACCGAAAAACUGAACAACAGAAUAUUUCCUAUUGAUUCUUUGGGAUUGUGGACCUUGUUUAAGGAAAAUAUCAAAUAUUACCUAAUAUUAUGUUAUUUGUAAAUAUAUUUAAUAAUUAUAUAAUAUAUACCCUCUCUGAUCUUUGUAACUCGAAAUUUUGCCCGGAUUUGGUAUUUUAAUCAGGGUAUAGAUAUCCUGAUUUAUCAGUGUAUGUUUGUUCUCUGUCAAAGAAGGAGAGUGACGGAGAAUUACCAUUUAUUUUGGGUGUUGAGAACAAGGCCCAAGCCCGUUGUGGAAACCAAUUAAUGUAAGAGUCUGAUUAGGAAUCAGAGUUAGAUUUCUAUUUAGAAAUCUAUUUGCUUGGCAACAACAUGUGUCCUUAAAGGACUUGAAUUAGUUUCUAAUGUGGAAUUCAAUUCCAUUAGAAACUGUGUAUAACCUUUUGGGUUAUAAAUAGGGAGUGUGGCUAUGGGUAAAACAUACACAGAGAAAGAGAUUAUAUGGGUGAGAUUCAAAUCUGUGUGGUGGAAACCGUUAUUACGGUUUUCGUGUUUAAUUGUUCUUCGUCUUCUCAAACAUCCAUAAAGCUAUUCUCACUUUGUUCCGUGGACGUUGGCAAACGCCGAACCACGUAAUUUUCUUGUGUUUUAUUAUUUGCAUUGUUUAUUAUUCUCAAUUGUCGUGUGUGUGUUAUUUUCUAUUCGAUUAUCAACAAUAUUUAUUUGAUUACGUUUCCGUGAGGCGCAACAAAUUGGUAUCAUAUGCUAGUGCAGUAGGAAGCUUAAUGUAUGCGAUGGUGUGUACGAGGCCCGACAUUUCACAGGCAGUCAGUAUGGUUAGUCGGUACAUGCAUGAUCCUGGUAAAGGGCACUGGCAAGCGGUGAAAUGGAUUCUACGGUAUAUCUUGGGUACUUUAGAUGUGGGUUUACUCUUUGAGAAGGAUGUGUGUAAGAGCCAAUUUUGUGUUGGUUAUGUGGAUUCAGAUUAUGCAGGAAAUCUGGAUAAGAGGCGUUCUACUACUGGUUAUGUGUUCACUAUUGCUGGAGGACCGGUAAGUUGGAGGUCUACUUUGCAGUCUACAGUUGCAUUGUCAACAACUGAGGCGGAGUACAUGGCUAUUACUGAAGCCAUUAAGGAAGGUAUUUAGCUUCAAGGGUUGUUUGAUGAUCUGGGUGUGAUACAAGACCAUCUUGUGGUCUUUUGUGAUAGUAUGGGUGCCAUUUUUUUGGCUAAGAAUUCCAUUCAUCAUGCACGUACGAAGCACAUUGAUGUUCGUUUUCACUUUGUGCUUGAGAUCAUUGAAGAAGAUGACAUCUUAUUAGAGAAGAUUGACACCAAAGAUAAUCCUGCUGAUAUGUUGACGAAGAUUGUGCCUGGGGUCAAAUUCCAACAUUGUUUGGACUUGACCAAAAUCCUUCAUGUGAAUUGAGGCCCUUAGGGGCGUGUGGGCAAAGAUGAGUUGAUGCUUGUGUGGAGAAGAACUACGAGAGGCUUGAUCCUUGUGCAGAGGGUACGUAGGCAACUACUUCGUGGUGCAGCUCGUGUGAGAAGAAGAAGUUCGAAUGUGUUCGUGUGUGAUCGGGGUUCGUGUGUGAAAUCUUCGCCGAGGUGGAGAAUUGUUGAGAAUAAUGCCCAAGCCCGUUGUGGAAACCAUUUCGUGUAAGAGUCUGAUUAGGAAUCAGAGUUAGAUUUCUAUUUAAAAAUCUAUUUAGUUGGCAGCAACAUGUGUCCUUAAAGGACUUGAAUUAGUUUCUAAUGUGGAAUUCAAUUCCAUUAUUUUGUGUAAUUUUAAAAAUUCUGAAAGAAAAUAGACAAAUGAGUGAGACAAUUUUGUGGUUUUGAAACUUUGAAAGUUGGAGGGUUACACCCAUAGUCCAAACUCAUAUAUCCACAUCAAAUGAGUGGAAAAAAAAAAGUAUAGAUAAGCUAGAUUAUGUGCUAUAUGCAAAGUCUUCUGCAACUGUUCUGUGAUAAAACAACCGGCCGAUUUUGUUUUGGAUCACCAAAUCCAACAAGCACUGGACAACACUGAAACAAGCUCACUUAUAUCCAUUCUUUUCCUAGCAAGUAGCAAUCACAGAUUUACAUCCUUCUAAGUUGGUAAGAAAAUUCUCUGGUUUUUCGACUUGAUAAUCUUAUUCUUCUUGUUUUCGUAAAUUCAAAUGAGAAGGUUUCUAUAUGGAUAUUACAGAUGACAAGUUAGUGAAUUCGAUUAAAGAAACAUUAAAUUCUACGCCUCCCUUCUCAUCUGAGCCAUGUAUAUAUUCUGUUCCAGACACACUCCGUUGGGUAAACGAAGAAGCCUACACACCCAAUAUCAUUUCAAUUGGACCUUUGCAUUAUGGGAAAGAAAGAUUACGGAAGAUGGAAGUCAAUAAACAAAGAUAUCUCAACGACUUUCUUAUACACAAUCCAAAUUUGAGUUUGAAAGAUUAUGUUGUAAUAGUGAGAGAUAUGGAAGAUAGAACUCGUAAUUCUUAUGCAGAGCACAUCAGUUUCACAAGCAAUGAGUUAGUCAAAAUUAUGCUACUUGAUAGUUGCUUCCUGAUUGAGUAUUUUAUCAAGUACAAGUAUCGUAAUCUAAGAAACAAAGAUGAUCCAUUAUUUCAGAUUGAUAUACUACGCAGUGACGUGAAGCGAGAUACAGUACUGAUCGAAAACCAGCUUCCCUUUUUUAUACUUGAACAUUUAUUCAAUGCAAUGAAUGUCGCAGGUCAAUUUGGUGCCGGAAACCACUCCUUCCUUUUGCUCGUCUUAAACUUUUAUGGCAAGUGUUGUCAAGAUGUGGUGUUGCAUUUCUCGACCCACCAAGUCAGGCAUUUUGUCGAUUUAUUACUCUAUUUUUACAUUCCCGCAGACGCAAGAAUGGAACCCAAGGGAAAUGAUGAAAACCGUAUAUAUAUACCAAAUGCAACUGCACUCCAUGACGCGGGCGUCAAAUUUAGGAACAACACAAAUAGUCAAGUAAAAUGCAUUUUGGAUGUCAAAUUUAGUAAUGGAAUGUUGGAAAUGCCGAUGAUAGAGGUCUGCGACACAACAGAAUCCGAAUUGAGAAAUAUGAUUGCUUUUGAGCAAUGUAUCAGUGGCGAUACUAGGUACUUAUCUGAUUAUGUGACACUAAUGGAUUGCCUCAUAGACACUCCUAAUGAUGCUGCGUUACUACGCAAAUAUGAGAUCAUCAACAAUAUGUUGGGCAACAAUGAAGCGGUAAAACAAGUAUUUAACAAACUUGGAAAAUGUAUUGCUUUAAGGAAGGAAAGUUUUUAUUUUUCUCGGCUUCUUGAAGACGUGAAUGCUUACUACAAUACCCGAUGGCAUGUCUGGAAGGCCACACUGACGAGGAACUAUUUUAAUAGUCCAUGGUCAAUCACAUCCGUUAUUGCUGCAGUUAUACUUCUCAUCUUGGCAUUCAUACAAACAGUGUGUUCAAUCGGUUCAUUGAACCGUUGAUUUUCUUGUGAUCAAGUAAAUUUGUGUAAUUUCUGAGCUGUAUGAACACCAGUUUUAUUGUGAGUUUGACAUUGUUACAUUUAUACCAUACAUGUCACCAGUUCAUUGAAGCAUUCUUCGUACCAUACAUAGGAGUGGCAGUAUGAGGAAACAGAAUUGAGUUUAAGCCUUUGCUAGAUUUUUAUUAGAUGUUUUAUAUCCUCUAGAUAGUUCUACGAUCAAUAUUAACAAACUUUAAACUCAGACUCUUAAAUGCUUAUCGGCUCUUUGAUGAACAUCUAGUCGACCUAUAGAUUGAUCGAUUGUGCAUUGCUUAGGCACGUUUAGGAGCUAGAUCUUCGACAUUUGAAACUACCAACUACUUCUUCAUUUUCAGGUCUUUGAUUGAAGCUCACUUUGUUUCCCACUCUCGUCAGGUUAUGGAUCUUGUUCAUUAUUUAACACUUGUGGAAUAUUUGAGUUUAAUAUCCUGCAAACGGGAGUUUAAUACGUCUUACAAUAUCUGCUCCUCACCUGAAGAAUUGACUGUGUUUUCUUCUUAUCAGAUAUCUCCACAAACCAUCUUGUACAAUCAAUGUAACUCUUUGGAAAGCAUAGCUUUCUUCUUUUGUUAAUGAUGAAUUUUUUACAAUCGACAGAAUGGUUAUGGGAAAUAGCAAAGAAAAGUUCAUUAGAUAUUUGAAUAGCAAUCUCAAUGGAAUUUCUUAUGCGGAGGCUCUGACACUAUCCACACGUGUUUUGCCUCCUCUUAAUUGUUUACAUACAAUAGUGUUCUUACUUCUUAUUUCUUAAGUUCAUAUGUGAGCCAUAUGUGAGCGGUUUAGACUUAACCCCCUUUUAUAGUCACGUUUUGAGUAAACCCCCUCAUUUGUCCAAGUUUGGAAUUUACCCCCUCUCCGUCUGUUUCUGUCAAAUUUAACGUCAAUUUUGUUUUUAACUUCCCAAAAUGUCCUCGAUUGCUGCUUUAGACUUAACCCCCUAAAAAUAUGAGAGAGGGGUAUUUUAGGAAGAAAAAAUAAAAAUAGAUGUUAAAUUUGACAGAAGUAGACGGAGAGGGGGUAAAGUCCAAACUUGGACAAAUGGGGGGGUUUACUCAAAACGUGAUCAUAAAAGGGGGGUUAAGUCUAAAAAUCCCUAUGUGAGCUUGAUAGAUGGAAAAAGUUCCCAAAUAUAGAUGUAUAUUUCAUUGAAUAGCAUCAACACCUGAUUUGAUUCUCAUUUUAUUUUAUUUUUAUCAAACACAUUUAUGAGAUUAUCAAAUCGGAUGAAGCGGGUACCCCUCUUAUUUCCUAAUGCAAGGUAUGUCAAGCUAACCAACUGUUGUGGCUAUGAAGGCUUCAGUAGUGCAUUAUCUCAGAGCUUUCCAAAUGUGGAAUCAACACUCAAUUUACUUGUUUUUUUUCUUGAUGUAAUACAAAAGGGAGAGAUUCUUUAUUUUGUCACCUCAAAUCAAUUGAGGUUCAAAACUUUGUAGGAUGCAGGAAUGAACUAGAAUUCCUUGGAUACAUAGUGUAAGUACCAUAUCCUGACCACCUAUCUACCGUGGAAAAAGGGCGGAGAUAAAAAGCUCAAAAUACGCCAGGAUUAUCGGAUCCACGGUCAGGACAAAGCUGACGGCCACGUGAGAGGCAUGAACGCAAUUGUUCCUCAUUGUUUGACUAACAGCCAACCAAGUGCAGAGAACGCUAGGCUCUAAGGCCAUCCACGUGUCCAACAUCUCCGGCCGUUGAUUGGAAACACAAUCCAACGGUGUCGCGUAGACCGACCAGUCACCUAUAAAUAGGGGCAAUCUCCAAUCAUUAGGUAUCCUCUCUUGUCCCAUCAAUCACUUCACACCUCUAUUUCACUCUACUGACUUGAUCGUCGGAGUGCCAACACCGGUGCCAACACUGGUGGUCUUUUCUUCUGUGCAGGUUUCCCGGCGAAGCUCAAGCAUCCUCCACGGAUUUCACGGAAGUACAGGUCCCAGGGGGAAAAGAGAACUACAUAAUUGGCACUAGAAGGAUCCUUGAACCAUCCACAAGGAUCUCCACAACAACAACAAUGGCUGCAACAACGACUCAAGGCAUACUGACUCGUGCCCAGAAGCUACAAGCAAUGCAACAACGGAUCCAAUAGCUCGAGGAAUGCAACGGACAGCUACAGACCGCGAACGAUCACUUCCAACAGCAAGAGAUCAUUCGGGCACUAGAAAACGCACGGCUCCUGGAUGUCACAAGAAAAUUGGCACUAGAGCAAGCUCUAGAGAACGCCAGAGAAAGGGAGGCAAUUCGACUCCAACAAAUUGACCGCCUGGUAGCUUUCGCAGCAAUCAACUUAGUAUCAGAAGACAAUCAGCACUCCAACGGAGUUCACAACGACAGACACCCUGCACCACCCAACGGUGCCAAUCCGGCACAACCCAACGGUGCUAAUUCAACACCACCCAACGGUACCAACCCAAUACUACCACCACCGCCGCCAUUGGAGACCCAUGAAAACCCCAGCAUUAUCAAGCACCAGCAGGAUCAGAGCAAUCCGUCACAAGAGAUCAACCUCCACGACGAAUCCGCCACGACAAGGCAGCUUCAAGACAGCUCCAGAACCCCGACCAACCCGACAAUGCGGCAAUGCUCGCAAAGAUAAGGCAACUUUAAGACAAGCUAAAUGCAAAGGAAAAAACAAUAAUUGCUGACGACCUCCAAAAGCUGGAAAAACGACCGUUGCAUGCCCAGUGCUACGAGUUCGACUUCCCCAACAAGUUUCUACCUCCAAAGUUUGACGUCUAUGACGGCAACACAAACCCCGUUGACCACCUCCGUCGCUUCAAAAAUCAACUAGCAGUUUGGGAAGGAGGCCAAUAUGAUGGUAUGAGGUGCCAUCUAUUCCCGAGAAGCCUCGGUGUAAGCGCCAUGGAUUGGUUCCAGUCUUUGAAGGCUCAAAGAAUUUACAACUUUCAUGACCUAGAGAAAGCUUUCCUCUCUCAGUACCGACACCAAAGGCGAGAAGUGGCGGACAUUUCAACACUCUUCGAUCUCCGACAAGGUGAUCAUGAGUCUUUGAAACAGUUCACAACAAGAUUUAGAACCGAAGUCCUACACACAGGUGGGGUGAACGGAAAAGCAGCAAUAGUCGCUUUCAGGAAAGGCUUGCGGCCAGACACCGUGGGCUACAACGACAUAAUCUCAGAACAACUAGAGACCCUGACGGACCUUUACAACAGAGUUGAUAAGAACAUCAAGGUGGAAGAUAACUUGGCCGGAAUGCAGCCACGAACACCGAAGCCCGCGGUGAACUUAGCUUCCGACACAAGAGGAAAUUCUGGUACUGAAAAAUCUGCCCACCCGAGGGAUGCAGAAGCAAAAGGCAAAGAUAAGCGCCCCGACGACAAAAAACCACGCCGAGAGGAUAAGAGGUCUCCAGGUCGUCACCCUCCGCCAAGACGAUCGUCGCCUCCCCGUAAGCUUCCACCUUUCAAAAUCCCUAUCUCCGAAAUCUUCUGGGCCAUAAGAGACAGGAGAUUCUUUGAGCUCCCCCCGACGAGAUGCACAAGAAUUGAUGGCAAGCCAUUCUACGAUUACCACCGUGAAUACAGUCACCCGAUCAAAGAAUGUUAUGCCUUCAUGAAAUUUAUGAACAAGCUCCACAAGCAGGGUCUCCUAAAAGAAUUCGAAGUCGAGCAAAAACCAGAAGCCCCGAGAGCUCAGCCACCUGUCCUAGGCACUGUCAACAUGAUACUUGAAGGCACUUGCCCGUCAAAAAAUGAGUCACGCAAAAAGAUCUGAACAGUUCAUUAGGUCAACAACGGCCCAAAAGCAUUAGACUCACCAAUUGCCACCCCUGUAGUGCGCAACAGAAAUAAAGUUCAACAGUCUGAACCAAUCUUCUUCUCCGACGAAGAUCUCGAGGGUGUGGUAACCUCACAUGACGACGCGUUGGUUAUUACCAUCACAAUCGGUAACUGGAACGUCAUGAAAGUCCUGGUUGACCUCGGGGGCAAUGUUGAGAUUCUAUUUACUAGAGAACUUCACCAGAUGAAACUCAACUCCACCCAUUUGUCGCCUGCCAAGGGAAAUGUGUACGGUUUCAACGGAGGAUCCAACAAACCCUUGGGAGAAAUAACCUUACCAGUAACGGCACACCCAAAGACAGUCAUGUCUAGGCUUGUAGUCGUCGAAGCAGGGUCCGAGUACAAUGCAUUGCUAGGAAGAGAUUAGAUUCAUGUCAUGAGGGCAGUACCAUCCACUUUUCACCAGAAAAUACGGUUCCCAACAGAUGAUGGUCAGUAUGAAAUCCGUAGCGAUCAGACACUGUCACAUACAGCACACUUCGCAACAGUCCGUACAUUGAUGAAGGACACCGGGGGCGAUGAGUCACCGAGCUCUUCUACUCAAUAACAGCUACAGAAAAAGGUCGACGGACAAUUAACAAUUCCUCAAAAACUGUGGAACCCACAGAGUCCGUCGACCUAUCCAACGGUGGUGAGCCACGCAUCACCAACAUCGGAACAUGUUUGAACAGUGAAAUCCGUGAGCAGUUGAUCAAAUUCCUACAACAGAACCAAGAUGUGUUCAUAUGGUCAAUCGAAGACAUGGAAGGCAUUAAUCCCGAUAUCUCUUGCCACAAACUCAACGUGCGCACCAACGCUACACCGGUAGUCCAGAAGAUACGGGCAAUAAGGCCAACCCUCCAAACAGCCGUCCUCGCUGAAGUGUACAAGAUGUCCGAAGCAGGAGUAAUCAAGAAAAUUCAGUACCCCGAGUGGGUCUCCAACAUCGUCGCAGUUAUGAAAAAAGAACGGCAAGGUUUGUGUCUGCAUAGAUUUCACAAAUCUCAACCAAGCAUGCCCCAAGGAUAUGUACGUCAUGCCCAAAGUUGACGAGUUGGUAGACCGAACUGCAGGAUUCGCCCUCUUAUCCUUCAUGGAUGGUUACUCAGGGCACAAUAAAAUUCCACUGUAUGAGCCGGACCAACCGAAAACAACAUUCUACGCCAAUCCUAGAGUUGUUACGGAAAAACAUCUCCUUCAGAUGGGACGACGAGUGUGAACAAGCCUUUCAAAUGCUGAAACACUAUUUCGCUCAACCGCUAAUCCUAUCUAAGCCAACACCAGGUGAAACUUUGUACAUAUAUCUCGCUGUGUCCGAGGUCGCCGUCAGUGCCGUUCUCACAAGGCGCGAGAGUAACGAAGAGGCACCGGUCUACUUCUUAAGCAAAAAGCUGACAGAUCCAGAAACAAGAUAUACACGAAUUGAGAAAUACGAUCUAGCCUUAUUCUUCUCAGCUCAACGGCUCCGCCCAUACUUCGAAGCCUAUAUCAUGAUCGUGGUCACAAAUCUGCCUCUAAAAUAAGCUGAGCAUCGAAUCGAAAAGGCGGGCCGUAUGGAAAAGUGGUCGAUAAUUUUGAGCAAGUACGACAUACAGUUCGAGUCUCGAAAGGCGGAAACAUCCCAAGUCUAUGCUGACUUCUUAGCUGAUUUCCCCGUCGAAGACCUUACUUGGUCUUCGGACAUCACUAUAGAUACAGAUCUCGUACAAAACGAUGAUCAAUGGACCCAAGAUGAUUGGAAAAACAUCACAGGAUGGCGCUUGUUCACUCCAGAAAAUACACGUGUGGAAUUAUCUGAAAGGUUGGGAUUUCCCGUUACGAAUAAUGAAGCCGAAUAUGAAGUUGUGCUUUCUGGUUUACAACUAGCUAAACUGCUCCAUGUAACGGAGCUCACUAUCUUCACUGAUUCAAAGUUAGUAACCGAACAGGUCAACGGAGGAUACAUGGCAUUAACAGGAAACAUGUCAGUUUAUCUCAAACUCCUUCAAGACACCUUGGCAAGUUUUCAGUCGACAAGAGUCAUUCAUUUGCAUCGCACCGAGAACCGACAUGGAAAUCCUUUGGCAUACUUGGCCGCAACAAUGGGCGACGAGGACGUUAGGACAAUAACUUUGUCCAAACGACAAGAAUCAUUCCUCCACCCAAAGAGCACAACGAUGGUAGCAGUACACCCGGGGGCGUCUUGGAUGGACCCAAUUAUCCUAUACCUACAGACAGGAUCCCUCCCUGACGACAGAGCCCAAGCUAGAAGCAUUGCCCAACAGGCCAAACGGUUCCUACUCAUCAACAAUGAGCUUUAUCGAAAAACAGUGGGUGAACCAUGCCUAAAGUGUGUCCAUCCCAACAAUGUCCCGCAUGUGAUUGCCGAAAUACACAAUGGAACCUGCGGGAACCAUUCACCAGGCAAAGCAAUGGCUCGUCGACUAAUUCUACAUGGAUAUUACUGGCCCACCAUGUUAGCGGACUGCAUGGGCUAUGAUAAAUAAUGGAGAGGAUGUCAACUACAAGGUCGCCUAGUCCAUGCACCGGCGGAAGUGUUACAUUACAUAAGCAACCCAUGGCCUUUCUCUAUGUGGGGCAUUGACAUCAUCGGCAAAUUACCCAAGUCAGGGAGAAGCAAAGUUUUCUUACUAGUUACUACGGACUACUUCACUAAAUGGAUAGAGGUCGUGCCCCUUCAACAAGUCAAAGAGCACCAAGUCAUUGAUUUCAUCUAGGAAAACAUUAUUUGUCUUUUUGGUCUGCCAAGAGCCAUUAUCACCGACAACGGACCACAGUUCCGAGGAGGACAAGUCGGGCGAUACCUGAAGAAAUAUUGCAUCAAGCAAUUUUUCUCUACCCCAAAUUACCCUCAAGGAAAUGGGCAAGUCGAAGCAUCAAACAAGGUUAUUCUGGAAGUGAUAAAAAAGAAGCUAGAAGAUAAAGGCACAAAUUGGACUGAACAACUACUGGAGGUAUUAUGGGCAUACAGAACAUCCCCACGCCGAUCCACGGGCGCAACCCCGUUCUCACUGGCAUAUGGGAUGGACGCUCUCAUACCACCAAAAAUGAUUGAACCAACAACACGAACAUGUGUGGUCGAUCUCGGCAUCAACGGCGACAUAAUCGAAAGAAAGCUUGUCCUAGCCGACGAAAUGAGGAGCCGAGCUCAGACCAAGUUGGAUCAUUAUCACCGAUAGCUACACAAGCAAUAUGGGAAGAAGGUCAAGCCCAGGGUGCUCUCAGAAGGCGACUUAGUACUUCGGCGACAGUACCCCUCUCCAGCAAAGCUCAGACCAAAUUGGGAAGGUCCCUAUAAAGUAACACGUGUCGGUAUCAACGGCGCGUACUACCUUAACAAAAUGAAUGGAACUCCAAUCGACAAACCAUGGAACAUUAUCAAUCUUAAGAAAUAUUUUGUUUAAAGUUUCGCGAGCUUUGUUACUACGCAUUUAGAAGAUGAUCAAUACAUAUCUACUUUUGAACAAAACAUUCAUAAACUUUAUUAUUUUUUACAUAAGUUUACGGGGUUAAACAUCUCUCAAACAUUUACCUCUUUACUGACUGAAGAGAAGCCUCGUUACACCUAUGCUAAAAGGGUAACAGGUCACCCUUCUGCACUUACUGUGGAAGCCCAGUGCACACACGGGGGCGUUGACUAGUGGGUAGGAGUCCUAGCCAGACGAUAGUUAAAACCUCGCACUUACCCAUGCGGUCUCGUCCCCCACAGGGGCUAGGCAACACCUGCGCCGUGGGAUGCCUCGUCCAGGGAAGAACCUAAGGGUUACAUGCUUAUUUAAAACUAAGGAAAUUAGCAGCCGUGACGACGGGGCCAAAAGUACUAGAUCACAAAUUUCAUAAAUCAAACACAACAUUCACAUAUCAGAAAUAUUGGUUAUAUUUAGUCAAAAUAACUUAAUGAUUAAAAUCCAAAACAAGUCUGCCGAUCCCCACGGACCAGGAAUUACAGACUUCAAAAUAAAUUUAGUCUGCCUGUCCUCACGGAUCAGGAAAAUUCCAGAAACAAAAUAAAGUAUUUCAGGCUCACGACCACCAAAAAGAAACAUGCAAAACAUUGUAUUUUUUUAUUUUUAUUUUUUCCUCACAAACACUCCGUAGCAAAUCACUUAGGAGACUGAGUUGGGGAAUCAAGAGAUAUAGACGGUGGAUCAAGAGACUUAGACAAAACUGGAGACAUGAGAGAGGCUGAAGCCGACAAAGGAACCAGAGGUCUCGGAGUCAUCUGCGCUUUACGUUUCUGUCUGACCUCCUCAAUCCGACGCUCUGUCUCCUUCCUAACAGCAGCAUCGAAGUCAGCUUUCAGAGAAUCAAACUUAUUCUUCCACUCUAUCUUGACUUGAUUCAAUUCCUCCUCUAGGCUAGUCUCACGGGCCUCGGUGUCAAGCAAAGUCUUGUGGAUCGCUGCAAGAGCGUCCUCUUUCUCUCGGUCCUUCUCGGCACCUAGGUUAUGCAAAGCCUCCUCCUUAUCAUCCUCCAUUUCCUUAUACAAUUUUUCAAGCUCUUUUUGCUUUAGAUCUUCAGCGGCGACAACCUGUUGCUUCAAGGACUCGCGCUCCUUUCGGCUGGCUUCAAGCAACUCAUUCUGAUUGACCAAAUCUUGAUACUUGGCAAUCUCGGCCCUGGCAGCGUCACACUCAUCCCUGGCUAAAUUACGUUCCUCCCAAAAGGACUUCACCUUUUUCAAAGCAUGAGAGUACCUACGGUUCACACCAUAGCCAAUGGUUUUUGCCUGCACAAAGCAAAAAUUCAAUACGACAAGCCAAAUAAACAUUCUAGACAUCCACAUAUACAACCACUGACAGUGUACAUGGCCGUAUCAAGGUCCUUCAUCAGAGUCAACGGAUCAGAUUUUUCCAGCAACUCAUAAUCGUAAGGAGUAAUGCCAGAAUAGUUAGCACCACCAGCAACUCCACCGUCAGCAAACCCAGAAUCAUCAACAGUAAUCCGCCGACCAUUAAGUUUACACGGUAACGGAUGCCAGAAUGGUGCCUGAACAACAUUACCGGCAAACUUCUCCUCAACAUGUUCACCCACAACGGAGUCCUUGGGAGUUUCAACGGAAACGUCAGCAACCUUUUUGCCUUUGUCAAUACGCUGACGCUUGGGACUCGAUUCCACAUGAUCCUCAGCCACAAGUUCAUCUCUGAAGGGACUGAGAGUAUUACCGAAACCAUCAUCACCAAGAAGCUGAGCAAGAUCAUCAUCAAUGUUAUCGAUGGCAACAGCACCAAAAGUGAAUUACUUGGAUCCAUCCUGUUUCUCUUUCUUUGACGGGGACGCAUAUCAGACGAAGUAUCAAUGGCAACUUCCUCCUCAGAUUCUCCGACAGAUUCCUCCGAGACAGAUAUGAGAUUCCUUUUCCUCGAGGAGGACGCUGCUUUCUUCGGCUGGCUUUUCUUCUUCAGUCGGAAAUCGCUUUCUUUAGGACCUUCUUUCGGAACAAAAACUGGCGGUUUAGACUUCCCAAUACAAACCCCGCGAAUCUCAACAGGGUGAUUUCCACUCCCGUCAGCACCAUUAACGCUCUCGAGAAACGUGUAGUUACUAGUCUUGUCACCCUUCUCCCCUUUGCCCAAGAUAAAGUCUACAACAGAGUUGGAAGUAUCCUCCAAAGGGCCGGUGUCUCCGUUUAUCAUUACAAAACAAACAAUACAUAACUCAGAAACAAGUACAAUACUUAACGCAGAUGGAAAGGGUUAAGACCUACCUCCAGUAUUGAACCAAGGAUACUCAAGCCCAAUAGACAGCUCCUCGACAUAACCCCCGAAAUUCCCGCAACAACUAACGGAAAAUCAGGCCACUCCUUAUCAAAGGUCCGUAAAGACCGAACAACAAGUCUCUUACGGGGCCUAAUGCAAAAAUGAUAGUAAUGAUCGGGAGACUUCUCAGAAUGACGCACACAAUAGUGCUUACGGAUAUCCAUCAAGGUGAUGGAGUACUUAGGAUGCUCAUUUAUCUUGUUGAAACAUCUCAUAAUCCUACAGAAAUUCCCGAUGCCUUGGCUAGGUGACAUCCUAUAAAAAUUUAGAACAACCUUGUCUAAGUCGGUCAACGGGAACCUUAAACCAGCAUGGAUUUGAUGAGCCGUCACGAUUAGUCUCGGACCCAGCCUCAGGGUCAAAAUCACAAUACCUCAAUGCCUUAACAUAGUGAGCUAAGGACACGGUGUUAGGAAUCGAAUACACCUGACGGAACACAUCAAGCUCGGGCCUCCACUCAUAAAGAUCGGGGUCAAACUGAUCCAACCAGUAUACAGAACUGCUACUAACAUCAUCAUUUUCCUUCCUUUGGGGCCUCGGGUUGGACUUUUCCUUCUUAAAAUACUUGCGCCACUUUACGAUCCCGAGUGGUUCCGGCUCCAUAUGUUUUAAGAAGUUACGGGGGCGAGAAGUCUGUGCACUGUCGUGUACACUGAGAAGUCUGACAAAGAGACAAAAACAACUAAGUUUCAGGUUCCCCUAGAAUCAAACAGCAAGGUUUUUUCUUCUUUCCAAAAACCUAAGUUAAAAACCUCUACGUUUUCAAACCCCAUUUCUUUCCAAACCCUCUUUUUGGUUGGAACAAAGGAAAGAAAACCCAGCAAUCUCCCAACAAACAGAACAAAACAAAAUUCUAGGAAAAAAGAAAAAAAAAUAAAAACUACGAAAAGAAGAGAAAGACUUACCAGAGAAGAGAGCAAACAGUGAAAGCUUCAAACGAACUUCGAACAAACUUCAGAGCUUGAAAAACAGAACGCGUUAAUGGCAGAAAGAAGAUAGAAGAAGAAAGAAGAUGAAGACAAAGAAAGAAAUGAUUUUUAUACUCUAAGACAGAAAUUCUCUCUCUCAUCAUUACCGUGCUCGUCAAACGACGCAGACGUUUCGAUUAACUAGGAAAUAUCGGCGGCAUUGUCUUUUCAGUUAUAAAGCCACGCGCCUUUUCGAGGCACACGUGGUAUACACGUGACCCCAGCUGUCCACCAACUAACAAACACGUGCAAACGGUCAAGAGACCAUCGUUGACUUUUUUCCGCCAAAAUUUCCCACCAAAAUAAGAACGAAUACGUUAUUCAAACACUACGUUCGGAGCAAACAUCAGAUAUUCUCUGUACCGACUCCCCCGGAAGCGCUGUCGCCACAGAGAAGGGGGCGAUGUAAGUACCAUAUCCUGACCACCUAUCUACCAUGGAAAAAGGACAGAGAUAAAAAGCUCAAAAUACGCCAAGGAUUACAGGAUCCACGGACAGGACAAAGCCGACGGCCACAUGAGAGGCAUGAGCGCAGCUGUUCCUCACAUUUUGACUAACAGUCAAACAAGUGCAGAGAAUGCUAGGCUCUAAGACCAUCCACGUGUCCAACAUCUCCGAUCGUUGCUUGGAAACACAAUCCAACGGUGCCGCGCAGACCGACCAAUCACCUAUAAAUAGGGGCAAUCUCCAAUCAUUAGGUAUGCUCUCUUGUUCCAUCAAUCACUUCACUCCUCUAUUUCACUCUACUGAUUUGAUCGUCGGAGUGCCAACACCGGUGGUCUUUUCUUCUGUGCAGGUUUCUCGACGAAGCUCAAGCAUCCUCCACGGAUUCCACGGAAGUACAGGUCCCAACGGGAAAAGAGAACUACACAUAGGAUCUGUCACAAUAACUUGAAUUAUUUUUGUCAAAAUGAAGACCAACUUGAAUUGCUUUUAAGUAAACAGGUUGCUGAUUUGAUGUAAUAGAAAGAUUCUGUAAGUUAAAGCACAUUAUAAAUCAUAUUUUCAUUGGGUUGUCAUCAUAUAUACAUUUGAUAUAAUUCUGUAUGAUAGGUGGUACAAGGAUACUUAUUGAACCUUUUUUUUUUUUUUUUUAAACAAAACAUAAGAGUUUAUACAUAUCUGCUGCCUUCUCCCUGAAGGCAUUUAAGACUCGAAAGGGUAAAUACAGACUCCCUUUACCACAUUUACAGACUUCCUUAACAUGAAAUGAGCCAAACUGACGACCUUCAGAAGCUAAGAUAUGAGCACAGGUAACUAGCUCUCUAGGAGCCCAGACAAAACUACAAAAAGGCAAAUUGGGAGACUACACUUUGAAUAUCUGACAAAAGACUACUGUGCUCCCAACUAACAUCAGCAUCAUAUCCACUUAAUUUAUUGACCCAACUCUGACUAUCUGAGAAGACAACCAUAUGCUGAACUUGUUCAUCCACUGCACAGUUUAGUCCUUGCUUGAUAGCUAACCCCUCUGCUUCUUCGGCUGAUGCUGCAGUAAUUCGAUUGCUUCCUGCAAAAGUUGGUAGAUGAGAAUAUCUUCCAUACACAAAACCAGAACCUGCAGUGCAGCUCACAUCAUCAUAAGCACCAUCUAUAAUGAGAAUAUGGAGAGAUGAUUUGAUCUCGCUGGGUAAAGGGGUAACGGAUGUUUCAGUAGACAUGGAAGAAGGGUCUGGUGAGAGAAUGGAAGCUUGUGCUGAACUUAAAAUUUUCUGGAAUGAUGGUUUUUUAACGACAUCUUUAAAAACAACCUCAUUUCUAUGCAUCCAGAUGAUGUAAGAAAUAGAAGCAACAUUAGAGAUACAAUUAUUGAAAUCAUUUUUUGAAGUAAACAUAGUUUUAAGAUAUUUGUAAACAUCAGAACAAUUGAAAUUGUUAUUCCAGUUUGAAAACCUAAGAGCAUCUCUAAUGGGUCUCCCAUAUUUAGCCGACACAUAGGACGAUUUAGCAUCCACGUAGGCGCCACGUAUUUUCCUAUCACUUUUUUUUACACGUCUCCUAUACCUAUAUCAGGGGUAACCCUAACGCAAAACCUUUUUUUUUUUCUAAAUUUUAUCUUCCACGCUGGUUGGACCAGCGUGAAAAUGUUUUUUCGAAUCUUUCUGUUCCACGCUGGUUGAACCAGCGUGGAAUACUUGGGCUUCGAGGGAUUGGGCUUGGGGCAGGAUCUGUAAUAUGUUCCACGCUAGUUGAAUAAGCGUGGAACUUUGAAGCUUUGUUUUUUUUUUCGAAUCAGUAAACAGAAACCACUAUCUUCUCCCUCUUUCCGCCGCCAUUCUUCUUCCUCUUCCGCCAUUUUCAACUUCUAUCUCUUGAUUUUGCUGCUUCUACUUCUUCCUACUCAAAAAUUACCCAACCAUUUCAAUAUCUUUUGUUAUUUUUUAUAUUUAGCCCCCUUUUUAUUAAUUUUAACUAAAAAAUUUAAAUUUUUUCUAAAUCACAAAUUAUGGCUCCAAAAAGAAGAUUGUGCGGUAAAAUCGUUCAAAAGGUGUAUCAAGGAACUAGUAGUACUAUGGAAGAUCAAUCUUUAGAUAAUAUGGAGGUCGAAGUUGUCGAAAUUGAUUUUCCACAUUUUCGCGAAGUUCGAGAUUAUACACCAAGAGAGCUCGCUCCAUGUAUUGGAUCGCAUCUUAGUGAUAACCAGUAUUCCGUUGAUGUAAGUAUUUGAUUUGAUUUUUAAUAUAUUUAAUUUUUAAUUAAUAUUUAAUUAUUUUUUAUUAGUUUUUAAUUGGUAAAUUGUUCGUUUAAUAUAGAGGAUGAAAAAUUUGACAUAUAGAGGCAAAAUGAAUAACGUAAUGACUUGGUGGUCAUAUAUGGUGGAGAGAGGAAAUGAUUUUGCUCAUGUACGAGACCGAAUACAAGCGACGCCAUUUGGGCCUCUCGUUUCUUUGACACCAUUUCGAACUGAUCGUCAACUUAUAUUCGCGUUGCUUGAGCGAUGGUGGCCAACGACACAUACAUUUUAUUUGCCUCUCGGUGAGCUUGCUUUUACUCCUCAUGAUUUUACUAUACUUACGGGUUUGCGUGUCGGGGUGGGAGAGAUUGUGUCAUAUAUUUCAUCUUAUGAUAAUAAUGAGUGUGAGGCUACUAUAUUAUUCCCAACUCUAAGUGAAUAUGAGGAGGCUUGGAAGGAUGAGGACAAACAAACAGGUUUACAGUAUGGUUUUUUUGAGAAUAUAUACAUGAUGCGUACUGUUGCUGAUGAUGAUUGGGUGUUAGAGCCGAAUUCAGUUGAAGAGGAUGAGUAUGUGUUAGCUUUUCUGUUAUACUUUAUGUCCGGGGUUUUGUUUUCUACUGGACACAGUUGUGUGAAGUUGGGUUGGUGUGGAGCGUUGCUUGAUACAAGCAAGAUUGGAGACUAAGAUUGGGGCGGUGCAGUGAUGGCACACAUGUAUUAUCAGAUGGAUUAUUUUUCUAUGAGUGGCAAGAAAUUACACAACAUCGGUGGGUUCAUUUGGAUUCUACAGGUUAGUUAUGGUUUUUAUAUUAUUUUUAAUUUUUAAUUAAUCUAAAGCAUAAAAGCAUGAAUGAUUUUUUUAUUUUUUUGUAUAAUUUUUGUAAUUACGAAAUUUUUAUUAUGUAGUUUUGGUGGUAUGAGUAUCUGGGCACGUGUAAUCCGAUUUUGUUAGACUGUAGACCACAAGUGUUCCCUCGUAUUCUUAUUUGGGCCCUUGAAAACCGAGCUGAAAUGAUGGGACUUGUAACGAAUAACUUUAAACAAGCAAGGGCCUCGAUCGAACAGAAAACUUGGGAUAGUAUUAGGUGGAUGCCUUGGGUUGGGUUACCAUCAAACAGUGUCCCACAUAUUGACAGCUCUAGAAUCAUAUCUCAGACGAGAGUGGUUUUAGUUUCUCCAGAGAUUAGUGUUUGGUUUUUAGGGGAUAGAUGUUUACGACAGACGACUGGUAUGAUAGCUAUUCCUCAUCCUCCACCACCUGAUAUGGCUCCAGUGAGUCUUCCUUUGGAGUAGAUCUGUGCUUGUAGAUCAUCCUUUAACUGGCCAGUUAGUUCAGCUUUUUGUAAGUUUGUUACGGCUAUGGAGUACCAGUUAUAUUGGAACACUGAUUCUCGGGGCACAUUAGCUAUUUCGCCCGUCUCUCGUGAGGGUAACGUAGAUUAUGUGUCAUGGCAAGGCAUACGACCAGAGUAUCAGAUUCCUUUCCCAGCAGACCCUACUACUACUCAGCAAGAUUACCCUUUGAGACAAAUACAGUAUAGAGAACAAGCUGGUGAACAUAGCCUCAGGUUGAUGGGAUCACAAGGUAUGACCUGGACUGUACCGGUUCCUUUUCUCGACCGUGACUUAGUUACACAGCAUGUACCUGAUUUUGAUACCUUAGACGAGGUAUGUUUAUUUUUUUUAUUUACAAUUGUAUUUAUAAUUUUAUAUUUGUUAGUUAAAUCUUGUAUAUUUAUAACGAAGGGAAUUCUUGUGAAUACAGGCUGCUCUCCGGUCACGCUUAGCAGAUGUUGUAAUGCUUGGUCAAGGGAUGCGCCAUGCAGCAUUUGAUUCUUCUGGGAGAUAUUAUGGUUGGUUGCAAGAGCAAAGGACUGCCACAACAAGGGCUGAAGAAGAACUCACAAUAAGUGCUUCUAGGGUUGCUGAGCUGACAAGCACAUUAGAGGCCUUGAUAAGUAAUUAUUAAUUACUAUUACAGUUAAACCCUAAAAUUUAUUAAUUUUAGUUAUUAAGUUUUAAUUGUAUUUAUAAUUGAUUGUAGGAGUUGCAAGGGCACACUAGACGCGGUGGACGGGGACGCGGUGGACGGGGACGCGGUGGACGGGGACGCGGUGGACGGGGACGAGGUGGACGGGGCCGAAGUGGACGAGGCCGAAGUGGGGAGAGUAGUCAGGGGAGUGCACCUUGAGUGUUUUGAGUGUUUGAUAUUGCUUGAUAUUAGGGUUGUUUUGAGUGUUUGUUAACUGUAUACUAUUGCUUGAUAUUAGGGCUGUUUCUGUUGAACCACCAUAGAAGAUAAAUUUAUGGUUAUUUCUUAAUGAUUUAUUUAUUAUCCGUUUAAAAUAGUAAUAAAAAUAUAUUAAUCAAAAUAGUAAUACAUUAAUCAAAUUAAAUUCGAAAUUCAAUACAUAAUUAAAUUAAACAUUUUAACCUUCGAUACAUUUUAACUUUCAUACUCUUCACCACAAGUUGAACAAAACAUUUUACCCAAUGCAUAAUUAAACUCAAACGAAUCAUGGUUACAAUUUUCGGGAAGCACAUGAAUUUCAUCUUCAUACUCGUCAAUAAGUCGAUUAAAUUCAUCAUCGCUACGCUUUUGUUCUUCGGGUGUUAAUGGUUUUUCUUCUUCAAUGAUUUCUUUCUCCAUUUCUUCACGUUUUUCAUCUUUCGGAUCUUCAAUGCUGAAUGAAAAGUGUUUGACAGAACCAUCUCCCAUAAUUAUAUAAAAAAAAGUGUCACAAAUGAAGAAGAUGAAGAAUGAAGAAGUAGAAAUGAAGUAGAUAUUGAAACGAAGAACAUGUAUAUAUAGAUGUGAUUUCUAGUCGUUUAGAAAUUUAGCCGUUCGGAAAAUAUGGCCGUUCGGAGAUAGCCGUUGGAAAUUUAGGGUUCCACGCUGGUUAGACCUGCGUGGAAUUAAAAAAAAAAAAAAAGGUUCCACGCCGGUUUGACCAGCGUGGAAUUAAAAAAUAAUAAAAAAAAAGUUACACGCUGGUUGAACCAGCGUGGAAGAUGUUAUUUUUGCUAUUUCCUAUAAUCCUAUCUCUGGUUCGAUUUUGGACGAAGUUUUAACAGACCGGCCCACCACAUCCUACGUGGAUAGCCGGCUGCUAAAAAUAUAGAAGACGCGUUAGACUCCGACUUUUUUAGGAAUUCCUAAAUUAUAGGUUUUAGGAGACCCAUUAGAGAUGCUCUAAGACUCAGGUGACUAGCAAACCAUACAUCAGAGAUUAAGGGGCAAGCAAAUAAAGCAUGAGCAAUAGUUUCAGGAAACAUAUUACAUCUAGGACACUUAUCAGUAGCUACUAUAUUUCUAGAACACAAUAAUUCAUUUGUAGGAAGACAAUUAUGUAUACAUUUCCAGAGAAAAAGCUUUAUUCUAUGGGGGAUAUGCAACUUCCAAAUGAAGGACCACAUAGAUUGAGACAACUGAGGAACAACAGUAGAAAUAUUACUAUGAAACCAAUUGUAAUCAGAUUUAACUGAAAACAACCCAAUUUUUUUCAGGAAGCCACACCCAACUAUCAUGUAAGAGAGAUCUUGAGAGUUUGAUAUUUUGAAUAGCUACAAUGUCUUCAGGUUGAAAAUGACUUUGGAGGAGGGAUACAUUCCUAGUAAAAGAGGUCGAGUCAAUAAGAUCAGAGACCAAGGAAGGGGCUCCCGGCGGUCGAGGACCAAAGGGUUUGUUAAAAACAAGAGUUGGGAUCCAGGGAUCAGUCCAAAUAUUGAUAGAUGAUCCUGGUCCAAUUCUGUAACAGAAAUUGAACUUAAUUUGGUUUUUUAUUUUGACAAGGUUUUUCCAAAAUUUUGAGGCACUUGAAGAGGCCUUAGCAUUUAGAAAAGAAUUACUUCGGAAAUAUUUUUGUUUUAAAAUCUGGACCCAUAAAUCAUUUGGCUGAGUUAGAAUUCGCCAACACAACUUGGAAAUCAAGGCUUUGUUUUGCAGAAAAGAUUUUUUAAUUCCUAGGCCACCAGCACUCUUCUUUUUGCAAAUAACAUCCCAGUUUCGUAAAUGAGUUUUCCUAGUACUGUCUGAACUCCACCAAAAACUUCUAUUCAAUUUGUCAAUCGAGUCGCAGUCUUGUUUUGAAAAUAACUGGGUCUGCAUGGUCUUAUAAAUCUUUAUUUAUAUACCACCUUAUUGUUCUUUUCUGCUAGAGUACUGUAUGUCCAAAGAUUUAUUUUAAGGUAAUUCUUUUACUCAUUAAAGGUCAUCAAGUGAGCAUUGAAGCUUAGCUUCUCUGUUUUAUCUGACAGAUUAAUUGCACUAAGAUCGAUAUAUAUUCUUCCAGAAGGAACCUUUUAUCCUUAAAUCCCAGAGUCCAAGAUAUACUACAGGACGACUGUUGUCUGUAGAGGUGAGUAGGAUUCUGUCAGACUGUCAGUCCACAUAUAAAAGUUUUAGAUAGUUCUGUACAGUCUACACUGGAGAUAGAGAGUACUGUGAUCGAAACACGUUCUAAACUGUUGUGGAUGACUGACCCAUGAAGGAUUACCAUUUUAAUAUAGCAGAGGGUAUAAUUCUAAAUUUAAGGUCAACUGAUUGAGUCAAGACGCUUGAAAGAAGAAAUGAAUUGACUUGGAUGGAUACCUAAAUUACACAGAAGACGUAAGACGACCAAUAGUUCUUCAUACCACUAGUCUUUGCUGAUGUUUACAUCAUCAUUGGUUACUCGCGUUUCUACUAUAUAACUACAGAGAAAACAGAGUUUGGAGACUUAACAGAGAACUCAUUUAAGGAUGAAUCUAAUUCAUUUCUUUUUUUGGAAAUAUACUGAUCUACAACAAAUGCAAUCACACUAAAUCUUUAUCACUAAAAACCUUUAAUCUAUCCAGAUGGGACUUAAUCAAUUAACAUAUAGUCCUCCUUAUCAGAAAUUUUUCGCGUCUUUCAUUCACAUGAUACUACAAUUAUCUUCAUGGUGGUGGGGAACCUCGGACACAUAAAUAUGUGGUGUGCCAUAUCCAUAUUGAUAUGGAGUCCAAACCAUUUCUUGUGCUUGUGCAGCAGGUUCAUUUUUCACUUUUGGCUUCUCCUCUUUUUUCUCAGGAAUUGGAGUAACACUAACAAGUUCAGUGAAACCAACUUUCUUUCUAAUCAAUUUUGUUAAACAGGUUGAAUCGAUUCCAUCUCCAAUAACAACAAUUUGAUUCUUGCUAUCACCUUGUAACUCUGCAGAUGUAACACCUGCACCAAAACAAUACUUGUAUUAGUUAUGAUAAACAGUAUCGAAUGUCAAGUGAAGAAAUAGAACAAUCAAAGCAAAUUAAAGUACCUGUUACACCAACAGCAAUCUUCAUAGCCUUAGUCCUAGAUUUAUCACCAUUCAUCGAAAUCUUGAUCACUAUCUUUUGCUGCAACAUUUAAACAUCAUGUUAAACAGGUACAAUUUAUAACAAACACAAGGACACAUAAUGAUAUAGUUGCCAAAAUAUAUUGUCUAGUAAACGUACUUUCAUUGUCGAAUAUUGAUCAAGACUGCACCCAAAUGAUGAAGCGAUCGAUGAGUAUAAGACUAUUCAGGUGCUACACAAGACUGCACCAAAAUAAUUUUGAGAAAUGAAAUGAGUUAUAAGAUCUCUGAUCAACAUAUUUAUAGGUCUCAUAAAGGUGGACAGAAGGUACCAAGUUGGUUCCUUUAUUAGUGCUGAAUUUUUUUAUAUUAGAAGGAAAUUAUUUGGAGUGCAGUUUAGAUACAUAUGAUGAUCUAUAAAUUCCAAUAUAGUCAAUUGAUAAAGUUGCAUUCAUAUUACUUUCUAGUAUGACUUCAAAGUUCAAACAACUUUGAACUUUUCUAUUACAUAACCAAGACCAAAUAGACCUGGAUACUUAUGGUCUUCAAUCUUCAUUCAUUACAGGUUUUUUUUUUUUUUUCUUCUUUUUUAAGUAUAUUGUGUACUCAAAAUAAUUUACACAAAAGUGGAAAACAAAUGCAGUUUAAAAAUCGAUCUAAUAGUACAUAUUCCUUUGAACUAACACAUUGCUAAUCAUCAUUUUCUGCAGAGUUAAAAUUUAUUCAAUUUUUAUUCUUUUUUUUUUUUUUUUUUAAAGUAUUAAACAUAGAAAUUAGACUUGACCAAGUAAUAUUUUGCGACUUAUCAAACUACUCAAAAUUGACAUAUUAUGUUUCUAGACCAGUCGCUGCUCUGAGUCCAAGUUGGUAGUGUCUCUGUCACCCAGUCACAACUAUAGGGUUGCUAAGCUAUUGACUUCUCUUAGUUAGCUCUAGUACAUGCAUUGUUCCUGUGCAAACAAGCUGAGCCAUUGUAUAUGCAUUUUUCUCGUCUUAAGGUGCCGAGCGCCACUCUGCCCCUCCAUCCCUGUGAUUAUUCAAAGGAGAUAAUUACUUGGUCAUUUUCAAAGUUCUUUGUCACGAUAACUUUCUAAAAUAUCACUUGUGUUCUAGCAAACAAACCGCGUUGUUUAUAAUUCUGAUUGAAUGUGUGGUCAAUUGAAAAUAAACUAGUACAGUAAGCAAAUAUAUAAUCACACUUGGUUUGGUUAAUGGUCUUAAUCAAACUUAAUGCAGAAUUACCUUCAUUCUCAUAUUCCUGGUGGAAUAUUAAUCUUGGCCGCGGGAUUAGUCAAGGUGACCUGGGGCCAUUCAGCACCCCGAUAGCAAUCGUUGCAGAAAUAUUUUAAUUUGUUCAAACGUGCACGAUGGAGCAUACUAAAUGUAUCAUAGAUAUAGUACCAGUACUAUCUUAACCAUAUAAGAUGAAUCAACAGAUACAGUACCAUAUCGAGGAUUAGCAAAUUGAUCUGUUACAAUUUAUAGGAGUGGCAUACCGCGCUGACUACAAGGGCCAUAAUCAAAUCGGUAAUGGACUAUAAUGGUAUUCUACAAUGAGAACAAAGUGAGGUGUAGUAGAUGUUCAUCGGAACAAUUCUUUUUUUUUUCUUAUCACCAUUAUAAUUCACAUGAUGGAGGUUUUCAGCAGUAGAAAAAAACAUGUUGCACUUAAUUGAUUCACAAACAGUCCUUGUUGCUAAAAAAAAUUAUCAUCACUAUAAUUCACAUGAUGGUGCAGGGAUCUGGAUUCAUAGGAUGGCGCAUCUCACUCCAAUAAGGAGUUGGUGCACCAUAUUGAUAAGGAUGGUAAAGGAUUGGCUGUACAGUUGGCGGCUUCUCAUCUGGCUUCUUCUCAUCUGGUUUUUUAUCUUCUGGCUUGUUCUCCGGAAUAGGAAUAGGAAUAGGCGCGACACUAACAAUUUCAGUGAAACCAAUUUUUUUCCUUAUCUUUACUGUCAAGUAAGUUAAAUCAAUUCCUUCCCCUGUAACAAUAAUUUGGUUCUUGUCAUCACAUUCAACCGAUGUAACACCUGCACACAACACUUGAUAUUAAUAUAUAAUCAUGCAUAUACACAAUACUCGAGAAUGCUAAUAAUACAAGGAGAACAGAAGUACCUGGAAUAACAGCAAUCUCCAUUGCUUUUCUCCUAGACGUUUCAUCAUUGAUUGACGAAAUUUUGAUCACGGCCUUAAGCUACAAGAUUAACACAAAAUAUACAUCGUGUUAAACAUAACGAGAAAUUACGUACACUACUAAUUACUUAUAAAUCUACACAUUAACGUACCUUCAUUGUCAAUUAAUCUGGGCAAAAUUGGACUAGAUUACUGCAAAGGUAAAGGUGCUAUACAAACAGACCACCGUAUCUCUGCUACUGAAUAUGAAGGAUGAGAUAAGUUCCAAGAUUUAUUACAAACUUUAUAUAUAUAUAACAUCUAGGUAGGUUUCCUUAUUGGUUUGUUGUAGGACAUAAUUAACAACAUACACCAAUAUUGGUUUCCAUUUUGAGUUUAUGAUUUAUUUAGAAUGCAUUAUAAGGAUUUGAGUUCAAGGAAUUGUAUUUGGAAAAAGUUUUUGUUUUCGGAAACUUUGAGUUAAUAAACGGAGAGAACUACGCCUGAAUUAUGCAAUGUGAAGAAUCAUAUAUAACAAACAAGCCUUGCAGGUCAAGGCGUGGUUGUCUCUUGUGUAACCUUGAGUCAGAUUCAACUAUAUAUGAAGAUUGUGGUCUAACAAAGGUACAAAGUACAUCGCAUCCAUAUCUUUUUUAUUUACAUGCUUUGCCAAACUACAUGUUGAUACGAGGAUAUACUGGCAUACUGCCUUGAUUUAUAAUUUAUAUUAUAGGAGUACUGGCAUACUGCCUUGAUUACAAGGGCCAUAAUCAAUCUAUAAUUGACUUUAUUGCCAUUGGUGUUCUAAUUUGAGAACAAAGUGAGGGGUAGUAUGUGUUCAUGGGUAGAAAAACUCAGGUACAAUGGUACAUAACAUAAUUGAUUCACAGACAGUCCUUGUUUACUAAAAAUAUAUAUUCAUCACCCUUAUAAUUCACAGGAUGGUGCAGGGAUCUGGAUUCGGGUGGCGAGCCUCACUCCAAUAAAAUGCUGGUGUUCCAUGUUGACAAAAGAUCGGUUGUACACUUGGCUUCUCAUCUGGCUUCUUGUCAUCUGGCUUUUUCUCUUUUGGCUUCUCCGGAAUAGGCGUGACACUAACUAUUUCAGUGUAACCAAUUUUUUUCCUUAUCUUUACUGACAAGCAAGUUAAAUCAAUUCCAUCCCCCGUAACAGCAAUCUGGUUCUUCUCAUCACCUUGCAAUUCAACCAAUGUAACACCUGCGCACAACACUUGAUAUAUAUUAAUGUAUAAUUAAUAUAUAUACACAAUAGAGCAUGCUAAUUCAAAGAGAACAGAAGUACCUGGAACACUACUGACAGCAAUCUCCAUUGCUUUUCUUCUGGAUCUAUCAUCAUACAUUGAUGAAAUCUUUAUUACUACCUUUUGCUGCAAGUUUAAAACAAAUUAUACAUCAUGCUAUUUAAGUUUAAUGAGCAAUUGUACGACUAGGAUACAUAUAUAUAAAUGUCUAUAAUAUAAGCGUACCUUCAUUGUCGAUUGGAUCAAGGCAAAUUGAACAAGAUGUUGUGUACUAGAUCAAUAGAGGCGCCAAACAAACAGAGAUACUCUACAACUGAAUAUGAAGAAUGAGAUGAACCCUAAACCCGUAAUGAACUUUAUUUAUAACUUCCCUUGUUGGAGUAAUCUUUAUGAGUUAAAAGGACUUAGUCUUUUACUCAUGUGUCAAUUAAACAUGAUGUAAACGAAUGAUGUCUUAUCAGAUAAUCCAAAAUGCCCUACUCGGUUUGGUUUUAAUAGAAAGUCAUUCAAAGAAAAGACUUCCAUAUCACCAAAAAACUUCUACAAGUCAUUUGUGUUGUGUAGAAUUUGAUCAGUGACAGAUCUAGGAAAUUUCAUUGAAAUUUAUUGCAAAGGGUCACCACGGAAAGCAUAGGAGAUAUGAAGGGACCACCAAUCUAGCUAGUGCUGGACUGUUGUAGCAUGGCAUCGUAUGUAGAGAAAGGGUCUUUAUAAAAAUAAAAAAGUCUUCUCAUUAUAAGGGCUACAAUACUAAUUGCAUACUUGGGUCAUUUUCUCAGUUCUUUGUCAUUUUGAAAGUAUCAUUCAUGCUUAUGCCCCUGCACAAGUUUUUGCAGGCAAGGCAUGCAUGUGAGGGAGAAGCAGUUGGCUUAAUUAAGAAGCUUUGGAUCAGUUGCAGCAAAAAAAUGAAAAAAAGAACAAGAUUGCAGAAUAAGCCCUUCCAAAUUAUAUAUUUCGUCAAGUACUUCAUCGAAAUCGUACGUGCUGAUAUAUUACCCGUAAAAGUUAAAAUAUAUAUAGAUGAUGUACAUGAUAUUAAAGUGGCUGCAUGUACAGGGAAAAAACACGUUUGGGAUCUGGUGGUAGAUUCCCCCAUUGAUGAAUUUUGUGCAGUACACAGUUUAAAUUAUUGGAGUGGUAUACUGUAUACAGUAACUUGAAAUGCCAUAGGGUUAACGGACUUUGUCUGUAGUUUGUCAUCUUCUCAAGUCAAGCAAACCGUGUUCAACCCGUGUUGCUAUGUGCAGUGCGUCCUGAGUGUUGAAUGAAGUUUCUAGAUCAGAUCAUUAAUGAAAAUUUAAAUUUUCAUUAAUCCAAAUUUAGGUCCACAAAACACUUAGAAGACGAAGACCCACCAGACUUGGAAAUCAAGUUGUGGAGACUAUAGAAAUAACUUGACCAAGAUAAUAUAACUAUCUAUGAUCCUUUUUCAAACAAAAUCAUUGACAUAUAUAUAUAUAUAUAUAUAUAUAUAUGAAUAUCUAGAUCUUCACAUGGGCAUGUCUCAGUUCAAAGUUGAAUUGUAUGCCCAGUUAGGCAGUUAAUGGACUCUUGUGGGGAUUUUCCAUGUUCUGAUAGUUUGAAUUUAGUACAGAAAGGUAGGACAAAGCAAGUAUAGGUGAGUGAGAAACUGAGAAUUGCACAUAUAUUCUAUUCUAUGGGGCUACUAAACAUAUGUAAUUGACGACAAAGGACUCUGUCAGAGUCCUUGCCACUUGAAUAAUUCCAAAACAAUAGUCCGCGUCUUGUCUUUUCUUUUUUUUCUUUUUUUUUUAUAAUCAAUACUCACAAGGAUUAAUUUACAUUAGAAUUGAAAACAAGCACCCAAUAGUCGUUUCAACUCGACCCAAGAACAUAUUCAUUUGAACCAACAGGCAAUGGUAAACAGUAAACACAUUACUAUCUGUUACUUUUUGUACUCGUGAAGAGCUCAACGAUUAGUAUAAGUUAUUAAUAUACCAACACAGUUUAGUGGCAUUUUGCUAGGGAGAUACAAAUCACAUUUCAAUUUACUUUAAGCUCAAAUAGUAACAUUCUUUGAACCACAAGUGCUCCAUCAGAGUAUAUAUACAAGCACUUAUACAAAUAACAAGUUUUCUCGCCAAAUUAAAAGGUGUUUCAUGAUAUUUUCGACAAUCAUAUCACUUGUGUUUUAACUAAAUCUUUACUACUUAUAACACAGGAGGUAAAACCUACAGUAAAAUAAUAUUAUUUUUAUGUCACUGUGUCACCAGACACAAAAGUUAUGACACGUGUCUUUUUUUUUUUUUUUUUUUUAUAACCAUACUGUGUGUAUAUAUAUCUGUAAAUCAGGCGCGGAGCGCGUGCAGUUACAUAGUGGCAAUAAAGAAAACGUGUUUUUUCUACAAAUAUCUAUAAUCUAAUUAAUUAUAUUGCAUGGGGCCAAUUACUGUAAUUGAAUUUGUAGGUGGACCAUAAGCUAAUUAAAACAACACUUGGUUGGUUGAUUGGUCUUUAUAAAAAACUAAUGCAGAACCAAUAUGUUUGAUAGCUAGAUUGACAUUAAUAAUUCUCAUGCAGUAUCAACAUCCAUUUUGCUAAAACAAAAAGUUCCACUUUCAGUUACUGAUCAAAAAUGAAAUUUACUUUUUUUUUUUUUUUGGUGAAUGAUGGGGUUUGGCAGGACCCCUACCUGUUCAUUAAAUGGAAAAAAUUGUAGCUUUGAAGGGGGACUAGGCCUUACCUUCUUACAAAGGGACCUAGAAAGAAAACAACUUGGGCUAAGAGACCUUACAACAGACUAAGACCAGAAAAAGCCCUAGUUAUAGUCAGCUCCUAGGAAAAUGUAGUUUGAAAAAGUAGACGGCAACAUCAAAUGUAGAGGCAGUUGGCAGUUCACGAAAAGCUCCUUGGUGCAAACAAACUCCUACAAUGGCUUCCUCCUCUUCUUCCUCCAAUCAUUCCAGCUCCUCUGAUGAUAGAAGUUAUGUUGCUACCCUGGUAUUUGAUCAGACAUGGUCAGCUGUGGAAAGUUCCCUUUGUGAGCUCCAUUUCGAUGCUUUUGAGAUCUUCAAAACUGGAUUGAGGGGUCUCUGUGAACAGGCUGUGAGAUCCUUGAAUGCAUCUGGCACCAACAACCCUGUUACUGAUGCUCUCCACAACUACUUCCCCCCCCCCCCUCCUGACAAGGUAAGUCAUGAAUGCUGGCUUGGCUUUGAGGGCUGGUUGGGAACACCAGAAGGGGAGAGGUUUAGGGGCCAUUGCGUGCCAUGGUGCAAGUAUGCUUACCACACCAUUGGGACCUGUGUAGACUGUCGCCUUGCUUCCACCACCAUGGGAGAGGUGUCUUAAGAUGAAGGAGAUGGCGCUGAAGGUGAUGAUGAUGAUGAUGGUAAUGAUGGAGGUGCUGGUGAAGAUGGAGUUGAAGAGAUGGAUGAUGCUGGACCCAAUGAUGCUGACAGUGAUGUUGAUGGCUAUGAUGGAGGCAAGAGUAGCAAAAAAACCCGCCUUUGAUAAGCUUCCCUAUUUUCUCUUUUGAUAACCUAGAUCUUCCAUGUAUUUCAGGCUAGAUGUAGACUUAUGCUCCCAUCUUAAUGUAGUGUAUUCCUAUUUUGAAUUAUCUUGAAUCUGUAUGCUUGAAUUAAUGAACAUGCCUGAUGUAUGGAAUAUUAGCUCUGUCUCCAUGUAGCAACAGCUUAAAGUCCCUAUCCACAUUGCAAUUUACUGCUCCCAUGCUCUUGAGUUUUAGACCUUGUUUGGACAGGUAGUCUGCACAGGCAUUCCCUUCUCUAUAGAUAUGAGUAGUCACUAUGUUCAUAGAGACUGACAGAUUUCUAUGGUGAGCCCACCAAUUCCUUAGAGACCAAGGGAUAGGUAGUUCUCUAUUCAACCAUUGAAGGGCCAUUUUAGAGUCUGUCUGUAGGUGAAUCAUAGUAUAUCCCAGUUGAAAACACAAAGCAAUACCAUCCAAAAUUGCCCUAGUUUCUGCCAAGUUGUUUGUUCCUUUUCCAUAGAAGGAGAAGAAAUUACUCAGAUGAGUACCUACCUUAUCUCUGAUGACUCCACCUCCUGCAGCUUCCCCUUGUUUGGCUGCUCCAUCUGUGUUCAAAGCAACAAAUCCAUCUGGAGGCCUUGUCUAGUAAACAAUGGUUGGGGGUUUGAGAGCUGGAUUUUUGGCAGUGAUCCCUAGAUUAGGGAUUAUUCUAUCAAAGUUUGUACUGGAUCUGUGCUUGGGGGUGUAGCAUUGAGAUAACUUGAGUAUCCAAUAUCUAACCUUCAAAAUAAUCAUGCUGCUAGAGUGUGCUGCCCAAGGAUAAGUAUCAUCAAACCUUCUACAACACCUUUCCUUCCAGAUUUCCCAGAGGAUAAGAAGAGGUGUGAUUGUAUAACAUAGGGCUUCCAUAGUUCCAGACUUUCCAACCCUAAACCAUGAUGUUAGAAUGAGAUUAAAGUUAGGGAACCUAGGUAACUGCAUAUCAUAAAUCCCAUUGAAGUGGUUCCAAACAGGUUUAGCCAGUUCACUUUGUAAAAAUAAAUGAAAAAUGUACUCUUCCUUUGAAGCCUGGCAGCAAGAGCAUCUUGAAGCCAUAUAAAUGUGACACUUUACAAUAGUGAGGUCCACUGGCACAGCUCCAUGGACAAGCUUCCAUAUGAAGAUUGAAAUCUUGGUUGGGAUGAAAUGCUGCCAUAAUCUUCUAAAAACCAUAGAACCUCUGGUGUCUCCUGUGAGUUUGGAAAUGUAGGACUUAAUGGAGAAAUUUUCAUCACUGAUGUAUGGCCAAAUUCUUGUGUCCUUUUCCAUCUCCCUUUUAAGCAUGUGAUAAUCCUCAUAGAGGUGCCUUUGGAUUGCAGAUGGAAAGAUAGGGAGAUUGAACUGGCUUGCAGCUGCUUCCUGUAGAGUUAGGUCUUGAUGUUCAUUUGCACCCUCCAAAUUAUUUAGACAUCUUGUUCCCCUCCAAUUUUCAUUAAUAACACUGAAAUUUCCAGGUCCAUACUCCCAGGUGGAAGAUUCCACCAGCUCUUGAAAACACUUCCAUAUGUCCUUCCAUAACCUGGAUGCUAAGACUAGAAGGUUUAUAGCUCGUACAGACUUACCUUUGAUAUAUUUAGCUCUCAUAAAAGAAGCCCAGAGUGUAUUUGCAUUUAGGAGGUUCCAUGCAGCUUUCAUUCUAAAGGCUUUAAGCACCAAAGGAAGUGGUCUAAUGCCAAGCCCUCCAACUUCUACAGGUCUUGUGAUUUUGUUCUAGGCAAUCCACUUUCUCUUCCUCCUACCAUCCUUGCUACCCCAGAUAAAAUUCGAGAAAAGAGAUUCCAGAGAUUUUAUAACCCUCUUAGGAAUAGCAUAGGCAGAAAACAUGUAUAUUGGCAUACUCUGAAGCACAUGCCGCAACAGUAUCAGUUUCCCCCAUUUGAGACUAGCUUAUUCUUCCAUCCAUCAACCUUUUUUCCUGACUUUAUUAGAAGAUGUUCAAAAUAUUCUGCUUUGGCCUGCCAUAGAAAAUAGGUACACCCAAGUAUUCCCAUAGGAGAAGCCUUGUGAUUAAAACCUGUGAUGGUUUUAGUAAUAUGUAUUCUCUCCCUUGAUGUGUUUGGUGCUAUGAAAGAGCUCUUUAGGGCAUUCACUUUUUGUCUAGAACACUGACAAUAAGCCUUGAGAAAUUUCAUGCAACCAGAUAUAGAGCUUCUUCUGCCAUUAAGGAAAACCAAGGUAUCGUCCGCGUAUAGAAGAUGAGUAACUGGAUAGCAACUUCUUGGAGAAGAAAAGUAGCCAAUUCUUUUAGCUUCAAACUCCAUCUUGAGUCCUUUGCUAAGAAGUUCUGCAGCUAGAAUGAAGAGAUAGGGGGAUAGAGGAUCCCCCUGCCUUAUACCUCUUGUUGAUAUAAAAUUCCCUCUAUAUGUACCUUGGAAUAAAACUGAAAAGCUGCAAGACUGUAUACAGGAAAGAAUCAUAUUUGCGUUGUGAAAAGAGAAACCAAACUUUAUCAAAACCUGGUGUAAGUAUGGUCACUCUAUCCUGUCAAAAGCCUUCUCCAUAUCCAUCUUUAGGACUAGAUUCCCUCCCAGAGAUCUUUUUGUGAUGUAUUGCAUCACUUCCUGGGCCAAACUUAUAUUCUCAGUUAUCAGUCUUCCCUUCACAAAAGCUCCCUGUUCAAGAGAAAUGAUCUUUGGAAGAAUAGGGGUUAGCCUCAGAGCAAUAAUUUGGAAAAACUUUUGUAACUUACAUUACAUAAGCUAAUAGGUCUGAACUCUGUCAAUCUUGUAGGGUUAUCUUUCUUAGGGAUCAUACAUAUAAAGUUGGUUUUGAAUGAAGAGGGUAGAGCCUGUCCAUUAAAGAAAGACACAACAGCUUUGUGAAGAUCUUCUUUGACAAUAUCCUAGGCGGUUUGGUAGAAACAGGCUGUGAGCCCAUCAGGACCUGGGGCACUGGUUGGGCACAUGCUGAAAACAGCAUCCUUGAGAUCUUCCAUAGUAGGGGCAGCCAUGAUCAACUGGUUAUCCUCCAUAUCCAACCCAGACUCAAUGACUCCCAUAAGAGCUUCAUUUGGAGUCCAUCCCUCAGAGCUAAGUUGGUUUUUGAAAAAAAAUCCACGGCUGCAUCAUGCAUAGUUUCUGCGUUGUCACACCAGAGAUCAGGAUCAUCUGUCAGUAAAAGCUUUUCCACCGUUACCCUUCUCCUAGCCACCAUUGAUGCAUGGAAGUACCUAGUGUUCUUUUCCCCUUCAAUGAUCCAUUUUUCUCCUGAUUUUUCUUGCAUCAAGAUCUCUUCUUGAAUAAGAGCUUGUUGAUACAGUGCUUGUUGUUUCUUCAACUCAAUAUGCAUACUUAAAUCCCAUCCCUGUAUGAGUGAGAACUCCAGCUCAGUGAUGUUGUCUUCCAGUGCCUUUAUUUUCUGUUGGAUGUUGCCAAAAAUAUGUUUAUUCCACCAUUUUAGCCUUGCUCUGAUGUUCCUUAUCUUCAUCUCAAGGUUAAGAAGUGGUUGAGGAGAGAAUCCAGAUAAACUUCAAUUCUCUUGUAUAAACUUCUUGUAAUCCUCAUGUUUUGUCCACAUCCUUUUGAACCUAAAAGGGUGGGGACCUUUAGUCUGGUAGGAUUCCACCAUUGAAGCAAGAAUUGGCAGAUGAUCAGAGUUUGCCCUAGGUAGGUGGGUAACCUCUAGGCUAGGGAAAGAGCCAACCCAAAUACCAUUGACCAGUACUCUAUCCAACCUUGCCCACCUUCUAUGGUAGCCCUGUUGGUUGUUGCACCAUGUGUACUUUGAACCUUUGAAGCCACAGUCUUGUAGGCCAGCAUUGAAGACAAAAUCAUUAAAAUCCUCCAUAGAGCCUAAAGAUACCAGAUCACUUCCCAAUCUUUCAUAUGAUUCUAGUACCGUGUUGAAGUCCCCUCCUACUAACCAUGGAAGUUGUGUAGAUGCACCAAAGUGACACAAAUCCUGCCAAAGAGGUCUCCUAUCAUGAUUAGGACAUUUUGCAUAAACCAGAGAAGCCAGGAAGGUUUUUGUGUAGCAGUAUGUAAAAUGGAUAAGUUUAUACAUUGAUUUGUUUCUGACACCUUUGUAACUUGAAAAGAAUAAUCCCAGAAAAUCCAAACUUUACCAUUAACCUGCUCAUUGGAGGUAAAAUUUGGAAGACCUGUCAGUCUAGAGAUACUUCUCAUCCUUCUUAAGGCAAUCAUAGGUUCUAACAGAACUAGAAAGAGAGGUUUGUAAGAUCUAACUAGAUUUCUCAACCUUCUCUUAGUGGGGUUGUUACCCACUCUUCUAACAUUCCAUAUCAGGAUUUUUUGCAACAUGUAAAACUUUUUAUAGAGGAGGAUGUAGUACCCUGAGCCUUGGCCCUUGUUUGCAUAGGAUGUGGGUAGGUCUUCUUUUGUUUCUUUAUGAUUUCUGGGUCAGAACCAUACACCACUAUAGCUUGAUCUUCUAGGUCAUCUCGAUCCUCCUCUUCUACCUCUCCAUUAGUAAUAAGUAGUUGGGAUGGAGAGGUGUAAACUUCCAAGGGAAAGCCCCCACUUAAAGUUGGGGAUUGAGGAGUAGGAAUAGUUUCUAGUGAUAUCUGUGCAAGAGCAGGAAUUUCUGAUGAUUCUUCCAAAGAAGGUUGGGCCUGAUUACCUAUAGAAGUAAACUGAACUUCCAAACUGUCCUGAUUAAUGCUCUCAACCAUAGGACAUUCUUGAAACCGGCACGAAGUGGUUUGACAUCAAUUUUGUGACAUUGGUCGUCCUUGGUUAUUUCGCCUUGAGUUCAUUGUUAAGAAAACCUUGUUGUACGCGCGUCGUCCCGUGUCCUUGUCUUCGCGUCGUGUGUCUCAAGUAUGGUGUUUGGUUCAGGACGUACGUACCUCUUCAGGUCGUACGUACGUAUGGUAUGUCAGCAGAAAGUUUGUUUGGUCUGGACGUACGUACCUUCUUAGGACGUUCGUACUUCCAAGUAGUCAGCAGGUUUAUGUCGGUUUGAGACGUACGAACGUCAUAUCGACGUACGUACGUCCAAUGUGGAUUUCAGCAAUUCCGGCCCAUUUUGUGUGUGUUCUAACCCUAAGUAUAAAUAAGGUUUCUCUACCAAAGAACAAAUUAGUUCUUUGGCCGUCCAAUUCAUCUCUAGUCUUGGAGUUUGUUUAGGUUUUGGUUUAGGUGGCUUUGGUGAUUGAACUCAUCUUCUUCUUCCCCAUUCAUCUUCUUCUUCAUUAUUGUUUAUAUUGAUUUAGCUUCGAGUCUUCUUGUGUGUUCAUCAAGAAGUCGAGUAUCCUUGUGUGUUCAUCAAGGAACUCUGGUGUAAGCUUGUUUCAUAGUUCGGCUUCGAGUCUUCUUGUGUGUUCAUCAAGAAGUCGAGUGUCUUGUGCGUACAUCAAGGUGCUCUGGUGAAGUCAAGGUGUUAGAGAUAACCAGUAGUGUCAACUCGCAGUGAUUGCAGGUAGUUGAUAGGUUUGUACAUCUCUUUUCAUUUAGUGGAUUUAUUUGUUGUCGCAAGGACAACCGUGGACGUUUCCCAUAUUGGGUUUUACCACGUUAAAAAUAUCGUGUGUUCUUUAUUUGUUUAUUGCUUUAUUGUUUGCUUUACUAUUGUUAUAUUGCACAUACAUUGGGUUUUCAAUUCUGCAGAUGGCCAAACUAUCGAACUAUGCAACAAAGUAGGGUCAAAUUCCCAUUGUAUGCAAUAAACAAAAUUAGGGUUUAAAAAAUCAUCAAACUAUUAAUGUUUAUCAAUUUAUGCAACCUGUUAAAUAUUUUCUAACAGACGUUUAGAUUUUCUUACGUUUUUUUUUUUUUAAAUUAUUUCUGACUGUAUAUUGCUGACUGUAUAUGCUGACUGUGUGAAAAGAACCUACCACGCACCCAGCACGUGAUUGUUCUUACAAACCUAAAAAAAACACUUUCUGCUGAGAAGAAAAACCCCAAUUCUGGGAGAUGACGGCCAUGGAUUCUUGAGGAAGAAGAAGAGUAAAAACAAAAGAAGAAAAAAAAGGAAGGAGAUUCCUACAAGACAUGUCUUCUUCGAAGUGCUAUUGUGGGCCAUCAUCUCCUUUGAAAUUGGCUUGGACAGAGGAAAACGCAGGUAGGAGAUUCCUUGGUUGCUCAAAUUAUAUGAAGAAGGAUGGUUCUAUUUUUCGUUGUAAGCACUUCAAAUGGGUUAAUGACUAUUAUCCAACACUUCGUGAUCGAGUAUGGGGUAUGCAUUCUCAAAUUGAUGCAUUGAAGGGGAAGAAGGAAGAGUUGGAAUUGAAUGUAUUAACUUUGAAGGAGAAUUUGAAGAUUGAAGAACAAAAUACCUUGCAAUGGAUGGCAAAAGCUCAUGAUUUGGAAAAGGAAGUUCACAAUGCUGCUAGGAAGAACAAAAUUUUUGUUUGUUGUGUUGUUUUCUUAGUUUGCAUAUGGGUUUAUAUAAAAUUUUAGGAUUGAUUAUGAAAUUGGUGUUAAGAAUUGAAGUAGAAUUGGUGUUAUGAAUUGCAAAUACUAUGAAUGAAAUUUUCUUUUGAUUCUCCAUUGAUUUAUUGAGGUACAAUUUUUUUAUACUGUUGCCAAUUUGGAAGUGCAUUACAAAUUCAAGUUAAAUGCGCAUUUCAGUAUAAUUUGCCCGGAACAUGUAAAAUUUGUUCAAUGCUACAACAUUGGGUUUAAGGUCAUCUUUUAUGUAAUUAGUUCAAGCAAACAGAUUUCUCAGUGUACAGAUCAAGAUGUUAAUGCAAUAUUAAGCAAGGCUAUAUGCUAGUGUUGGUACUUAUUAUUCCCAAGAGGCCUCACCACAUUUAUAUACAAAGAUAUAGGAAACUUCAUUGAUCCUUAGUGCAAUCGAUAGAUUUCUGCAUCAUAGAAUAGACCAAGCUAUUCAUAAUUACAACUUGAAAAUAGUUGAUUAGUAUAUUAAUCAACUCAACAAUAGUUGAUUAGUACAUUAAUCAACUCAAAUAUCAGUUGAUUAACAUGCUAAUCAACUCAAUAAUAGUUGAUUAGUACAUUAAUCAACUUAAAUAUCAGUUGAUUAUCAUAUUAAUUAACUCAAAUGUUUGUUGAUUAACUUAUUAAUCAACUUAAAUUUCAGCUGAUUAUCAUUAAUCAACUCCACUAACAUGUUAAUUAAUUUAUACUUUCAUUUCUAUUUAGUUGAUUAGUAUUAAUCAACUCAACAAUAGUUGAUUAGUAUAUUAAUCAACUCAAAUAUCAGUUAAUUAGUACAUUAAUCACAUUAAUCAACUCAAAUAUCAGUUGAUUAACAUGCUAAUUCAACUUAGUAAUUUGUCCAAAAUAGAACAUNNNNNNNNNNNNNNNNNNNNNNNNNNNNNNNNNNNNNNNNNNNNNNNNNNNNNNNNNNNNNNNNNNNNNNNNNNNNNNNNNNNNNNNNNNNNNNNNNNNNNNNNNNNNNNNNNNNNNNNNNNNNNNNNNNNNNNNNNNNNNNNNNNNNNNNNNNNNNNNNNNNNNNNNNNNNNNNNNNNNNNNNNNNNNNNNNNNNNNNNNNNNNNNNNNNNNNNNNNNNNNNNNNNNNNNNNNNNNNNNNNNNNNNNNNNNNNNNNNNNNNNNNNNNNNNNNNNNNNNNNNNNNNNNNNNNNNNNNNNNNNNNNNNNNNNNNNNNNNNNNNNNNNNNNNNNNNNNNNNNNNNNNNNNNNNNNNNNNNNNNNNNNNNNNNNNNNNNNNNNNNNNNNNNNNNNNNNNNNNNNNNNNNNNNNNNNNNNNNNNNNNNNNNNNNNNNNNNNNNNNNNNNNNNNNNNNNNNNNNNNNNNNNNNNNNNNNNNNNNNNNNNNNNNNNNNNNNNNNNNNNNNNNNNNNNNNNNNNNNNNNNNNNNNNNNNNNNNNNNNNNNNNNNNNNNNNNNNNNNNNNNNNNNNNNNNNNNNNNNNNNNNNNNNNNNNNNNNNNNNNNNNNNNNNNNNNNNNNNNNNNNNNNNNNNNNNNNNNNNNNNNNNNNNNNNNNNNNNNNNNNNNNNNNNNNNNNNNNNNNNNNNNNNNNNNNNNNNNNNNNNNNNNNNNNNNNNNNNNNNNNNNNNNNNNNNNNNNNNNNNNNNNNNNNNNNNNNNNNNNNNNNNNNNNNNNNNNNNNNNNNNNNNNNNNNNNNNNNNNNNNNNNNNNNNNNNNNNNNNNNNNNNNNNNNNNNNNNNNNNNNNNNNNNNNNNNNNNNNNNNNNNNNNNNNNNNNNNNNNNNNNNNNNNNNNNNNNNNNNNNNNNNNNNNNNNNNNNNNNNNNNNNNNNNNNNNNNNNNNNNNNNNNNNNNNNNNNNNNNNNNNNNNNNNNNNNNNNNNNNNNNNNNNNNNNNNNNNNNNNNNNNNNNNNNNNNNNNNNNNNNNNNNNNNNNNNNNNNNNNNNNNNNNNNNNNNNNNNNNNNNNNNNNNNNNNNNNNNNNNNNNNNNNNNNNNNNNNNNNNNNNNNNNNNNNNNNNNNNNNNNNNNNNNNNNNNNNNNNUUUCUAUCAAAUGGAGGCAAAGAGGUUCACAAUUAGAUUUUGGCCACAACAUGGGACCAUCAAGUGGUUCAAUAUAAUGAUCAUAUGCCUUCUUCCAUUUCUCGACUGUGAACCAUUCAAAUAUGUAAUCCUCAGGAUUCUCCUUGAGAUAAUAAAUUGCUUUGAUAGAAUGACAACAUGGGAUCCCAGACAACUCCCACAUUCUGCAUGAACAUCUAUAAUUUUGUGGAUUCAAGUUCACAGAAAAUUGUUCUUCACCUAAUGAAACUUCAAACUUUCUAUUCCCAUUGUAAGAAACCCUCCAAAAUCUCUUAUCCAUCCUGUUCUCUUCAAACUUUUUCCUAAUUCUUGGAGUAAAUUUGUCUUUCACCAUCCAUUUUUCUAUUGCACUUCUGUUCCUCUCCAUCCUUCCCACUACAUAUUUCUUAAUGGUCUCCAACAUCCAGAUUAUUAGUUUACCCCUUGCUUCAACAAUUUUCCCAUUGAAUGUCUCACUCAUGUUAUUCUCUACAGCAUCACAACAAGCUUGUUUUGAAUAAAAUGCCCUAGACCAGUGUUUAGGAUCAGUUUUCAUGAGGUAGUCAUAAGCAUCCUCAGAAAUCUCCUUAAGGUCUGCCAUAUGUUGUUCAAAUUCCUGCUUAGUACCUGCUUUAGCUGCAGACCAGAAAAGCACCUUUAGUUCAGCACCCAUGUAGGACUUCCUCAUGUUAGAAUACACAUGCCUAGCACACAUCCUAUGUUCAGCUUCAGGCAUCAGCUCUUGAAUUGCUUGAAUUAAUCCUUUCUGUUUAUCUGAGAUGAAAGUCCAUCCAGCCCCUUCUGAUGUGUUCAAAGCUACCAUUAAAUGUUCUAGAAACCACUUCCAGUUUUCCUUAUUUUCAACUGUAACUACUGCCCAAGCAAAUGUGUACAUCUGGUUAUUUGCAUCCCUACCUACAGCUGUCAGCAAUUCACUCUUCACAUAUCCUUUAAAAAAACAUCCAUCAAGGCCUAUUAUAGGUCUACACCCUUCCAGAAAUCCUUGAAUGAGACUUGGAAAAGAAAUCCAGAUAGUUUUCAAUGUUGGGGGAUCACCUGGCAGAGCUCUAUCAACAGUUAUAUCUACAACAGCACCUGGAUUCUUCUUAACCACUUCUUCACCAUAAUCUCUAACCCUUGCGUAAUGCUCCACCAAAGAACUCUCAAUCCCACCCAUAGCCCUAGCCCUUGCUCUGCCACACAUGUUAAUGCUAACAUCUAUAGAAUAUGUUUCCAACACAUUAGUCUGAAAAUCCUUCAACUUCCACUGCGGGUUAUCAAGCAACUUUUUCUGGUAUACCUUAGCCAACCACUCAGCCUUAACAAUCUUAAUAUUAAAAGUCCUUGUACACCUGUGUUCUAAAUUCAGUGUUUUUAUUUGCACACUAUUCUCAUCUGACAUCUUUGUGGCCCACAACCUCCAUGGACAUCCUUUCACACACUUUGCAAGCAAAAUGUCUUUGCUUGUUCUGUCAAAGUUAAUGCCCCAACCAUUUUUAACUGCAUAUCCUGUUUACAGUCUCUGAGUUGAUCAGUGUUCUUGAAUUUCUGGUACAAUUCAGGAACAAAUGUGAAAAUAUCCCUCUUAGGAUUCCAGACUGGACAUUUAGGUUUCUUUAUUUUUUUCUUUAUCACUGAAUCUUCUUCAUCACUGCUAUCUGAUGAUCUGUUCAAUUCAUCACUGUCAGCAACAUCACUUAACUCACCAUCUACAUUAAAACAGGUUUCUGCAUUAUCAACAAAAGCAGGUAGUUCCACAUCUUCUGAUUUUUUGGUAGUCUUUUUUCCCUUCUUUCCUUUCAUUUCUUUUUGUUGUUCAACUCUUACUUCUCUUAGUUCAUCAUCACUUACAUCAAUAGAUCUUGCCUCACUAUCAACACUUCCAGUUUCACAAAUUGGUCAUUCUCUUCGUAAAUAUCAUUGUCUUCAUCAUCUUCAUAAGCAGCAUUAUUGUCUUCAUCAUUUUCAUAAACAACAUUGUCUCCAUGCUCUUCUGGUUUAUUAGGCUGACUUGAUUCCCCAAAGUCCCAGAAUACCUCAUCAAACAAAUCAUGUUCAACAUAGAGCUCAAUCAGCUCUUUACUCUGCACAGCAUUCAUCAUAUCUACAGUGCUUCUAUCAUCCACAACCAACCUUAAGUUAUCCUUCAAAGGUCUUCCAGCUACACACCAAUGUAUCUUACUCACAUCUCCAUAUUUCAAAUCAUCUUCAAUGUAGGACUUAAUCUCAACUGCACCAAGCUUAUCAACAUCCAAUGCAAAAUAGUCUUUUUUCCCCAUUUUAUAAUGCAUCGAAGGAAUGAGGGAAAAAAACCCUCCAUGAUGCACCUCAAACACAAUUUCUUGCAUCACUGUUUCAAAGUGAUAAAAAAAAUGCUUAAUAACAAACAUUACAAUAGUUAAGUGUUGAAAUGUCCAUUACAAUAAACUAAGUGUCAAAACAAACAUUGCUUAAUAAACUAAGUAUCAUGAAUAAACUAGUAUUGUAUACCAACAUGCUUAAUAAACUAAGUAUCAUGAAUAAACUAAGUAUCAUGAAUAAACUAAGUAUUGUCAUACCAACAUGCUUAAUAAACUAAGUGUCGAAAUGUCAUGAAUGAGUAAACAAACAGAAAAUUCAAUAAUGAGUAAGCAAAUGGGUACUUUAUAGAUUACAAUUAACUAAUAAAAAAGUGGCUGACUUUAAGCAAACAUGAGUAAACUAAGUAUAAAAAUCAGUGGUUUAAGCAUGAAUAAACAACAUUAGUUGUUCCACAAACCUAAAAUUCGAACUAUACAGUAAAAGCCCAAAUUGUGUUUUUAAAACCCUAUAUAUCAAAUCCACAUAAUUGAAAAAAAUAAACAAUCAUUUUAUCGUUAAAUUCCAUUGUUUAAAGUACAUUGAAUUGCUAAAACAAUACCACAAAGUAUGAAUCGAUGAAUCAAAACAAAAUUAAAGUGGACUCACCAAUAAAAUAUGAAUCGAUGAGUGGACUCAACAAUAUAAUAAUGUUCUUCUUUUUCUUCUUUUUUCUUCUUUUUUCUUCUUUUGCUUUUACUCUUCUUCUUCCUCAAGAAUCCAUGGCCGUCAUCUCCCAGAAUUGGGGUUUUUUUUCUCAGCAGAAAGUGUUUUUUUUAGGUUUGUAAGAACAAUCACGUGCUGGGUGCGUGGUAGGUUUUUUUCACACAGUCAGCAUAUACAGUCAGCAAUAUACAGUCAGAAAUAAUUUAAAAAAAAAAAAACACGUAAGAAAAUCUAAACGUCUGUUAGAAAAUAUUUAACAGGUUGCAUAAAUUGAUAAACAUUAAUAGUUUGAUGAUUUUUUAAACCCUAAUUUUGUUUAUUGCAUACAAUGGGAAUUUGACCCUACUUUGUUGCAUAGUUCGAUAGUUUGGGCCUUCUGCAGAUCGUGUAAGGAGACCUUAUGACACUGAGCUUCAUUAGUCUCCGAUGAUAUGCAUUGACACCACAGGUAUCUCUGAGCUGGUCCCUUGACAUAUUAUCUUGCUUCUCCAUUGGUAAUGUUUUUUCUACCUCUAAAACUUCUUCUUCCUCAAGAACUUGAAUAUCACCUUCGUCAUCUAAAGAGUUUAAGGCUUCAAAAGGGUUUGAGACAGCUAUGGGGGAGGGGGGGGGGGGUUUGGAACAACAUCAAGGUUUGCAGGUCCAUGAGUAUCUAAUGAUGAUUGCUUCUCAGGAAGAUUACUAAGAACGUCCCCUUGAUCACUAGCUUGUCCAAGUUCUACUAUUCUUCCUAAAUUAAGAAAAGAAAGAAACAUUGCUGAAUAAUCUCUUGGAAAUUCUGUAGUACUUUGUACAAUCAUUCUUGUAAUGCAGGAAGCUGUUCUAACACAAGACAAGCUUCUUAGCUGGGGUAUGCUACAAGAUACAAAUCGCAUGCUCUGCAACCUAGAAUAUGGAGUACCACAGAAAGGUAACGAUGGAAGACAAGCUACAGUUCCAAGGCCAAUGCUGCAACCGCAGGUACCACCAAUCUGCAAUGUGAGAAAUGUAAAUACAGUGACUGCAGUUAAUCAAGGACCUAACACCAGUAGAAGGCAUGUUGCAGAGACCUCCAAACAUCUGUUUCUCGACUACACUUACUCUAAGAAAGUUUGGACAGAACUUCUGAAUUGGUGUGGGAUUAGGAGGACUGUGAAGACUGCAGUGUAUGAAUGGAAAUGGAUUAGUAGAAGCCUAAAAGGGAAGAAGCUCUAGGAAGACCUAUGCCAGGUGGCACUAUGUGCUACAACGUACUGGCUAUGGAGAGAACGUAAUGCACGAAUAUUUGAAGGCAAAGAAUCCAACGAAGCAGCCCUGAUAAAUAAGAUCGCAGAAACUGCAAGCUCAGGACACGGAGAAAAAGCAGAAUUCUAGAUGAUACACCUGCUAACAGAGCCAUAUCUGAUAGAAUGCAUAUCCAGGCAAAUAAAUAAAUAUUCUAGAAUUCUAGAUGAUACCCCCAAUUUUUGAUAAAUGAAUAUUCACUAAAUAAAUAGCAAAUAUUCAUAGAUCAAAUGCCAGGAUGUGAUCAAGUCGGCCCCACAUAGGACCCAGAUAGGCAAAAACAUUCAAAACAAUAGACUACAAAGAAUCAACAAUAAAGCUUCAAUCAUAUUAAUUAACUUCAAGACAUAAAUAGCUCCAAAUAAAUAAUCCAAAUGAUAACUCCAAAUAACAACUCUAAAUAUUACAAAUUUACAUGGUCUCCAAAACCAAAAUAAAUACUGAGUUCAAAGAAUAAGAAAAUAACUGAAUCCAAAUAGUGAAAACUGCAACGUCUCUCGAGUACAACUCCAACUCAAGCCUCCCGCUCUCCCACAAUCUUCUCCAUCUCUACGCCCGACCAAAACGUACCCCAAGUUGCAAAAGAAACAACGAGGGUCGACAAAUUGAAUUUGUUGGUAUGAGUGUCUCUCAUAAAAAGAGAGAUCACCGAAAAACCAACUACUAUAAAUAAAUAGGAAUAAUAAAUGCCAACAUGUUUUUCUAAGCAAAAUAAUAAAUAAUCUAACUUACCAGCUCCUUCGUCCACUAUGGUGAGUCAACCUGCAAGAGAGUUAGUAGACCCACCAUCCUGCACUGUAAUUAGUAAAUGUUGUAGUAAAUGAUAAGGCAAAACACUUAAAGCCAUAACGUAUCAACCAUGGAAAGGCACGCCAAACGCUAACUUUUUGGUUAGUCUACACUAUUAAGUUUGCACCCUAGCCACACACACAAAACCGGCAUGUCUACAGCACUACUAUGCCAACAGUGUAUAGACUCACGACCUCUUUAGGUUCUACUGAAAGGUGAACCUAUACACGCGCGCGCUAAAACCACUCGUCUACACAAGAGAACGAGUAAAAUAAACAGCACCGAGCGAAAGGUGCAAUGGGCAAAAUAACCGAGUCUCACUUGGAUCGCACCAAGUACCCAAAAGUCCAAAUCAUAUAAUCAAGUCCUUUAAAUACCAUGCCCGAAGACAAACAACCCAUAAAUGAAGUCCAAAACAAAAAAUGGGAAAGGUGUGGCAACUAGGGGAUUUCCUAAUUAUCCUACUGUUUUAUUUCUUUAGUCAAUCAAGCGUUCAAACAAAUAGUCAAUAAUCACGAAAAUCGAAUAAACGACUAUUUGGUCCAUAAGAUAUAACCUUAAUCAUGCGGCAUUUUUGUAAUCCCCAAAUAGUGCAAAGUUCUAAUGGAUAACUAACAUGAAACAAUAAAGUAAAACAGUGCAAGAGAUGACACAAUAUUUAACGUGGUAAAACCCUAAACCGGGAAACAUCCACGACCGUCCUCAGACGAUAAACAAUCCACUAUAUCAAUAAAAGUUACACUCGCAGUAAUAAACUCCGGUUAACUCAAUCCCUGAUGUUAACACCUGCAACUGCACUCCGGGUAGUCUUCUACUUGAUAUAACUGUGGUUCACUUCACAGACUCUCUCUGAGAAGUAGCUCUUAAUCAAUCAAUGGAGAACUUGUUGGAAUGGAGAAGAUGAAGGUUUCCUUGCAUCACACAGAAGCUCUAGAGGUGAUGGAGAGAUUAGAAUCUUUAAGGUUUCUUUGUUGUAGAGAAACCCUAUUAAUAUUCCAUAACGGGCCUUAACCCAAUUGGGCACAUUCCACACUUGGGCUUGUAGCUUCAGCUCCAAUCCACGAAUUGUGUCAACCUUGUAACCUGGGGGUUACAAUUUUACCUCGGAUAAAUAAUCAAUUUCAUUACUAAGGUUAAUCCAACAUCAUCCAUGGCAUCAGACCAUUCCAAGAGUUCACUUACAAAAAUCCCGCAAAUUCAGAAAUACUCAUUUAAUAAACAUUGUUUCAAAAGUCAUUAAAUUCACUAAACAUACACAAUAUCAUUGUUAAAUUUCCCUGGUGGUUACAAUCUCCCCUUGACACAUUUCGUGAUAAAAGACUCUUUGACUCUAAUCUUACAUUGCAUUGAACAUUCCAAGACUCAACAAAUGAAAGACUAUGGUCGUAAUGCCAUUACAGACUCGAAUAGACACUCGCACCUAAACACCUUGAAGAAUCACACAAAAACUUCUCUUCAAGAACUCCCCCUUGAUCUUUGACUUAUAGAGUCCGAGCUUUUUCUCCCCGUUAAUUGUUGCAUACCUGAAAUAAGAUAUAAACAAGAACUUUGAGAAAAAGAGGGAUUAGAGUCAAUAUACUCUCCCCCUUUUUGUCACAAAUGGACAACAAGGUGAGGGCAACACACGAAAGUAAGAAAACAAGGAAAGACACUAAUGGAGCUAACGAGGAAUGAGUUAUAAUGACACUGCAUGCGUAAGCAAGUUAAUAACCUUGAAAGAUAUGCCAUAACAAAAUAAUAGUUCCAACAUAAACUAAACUGAUCACAUAAAGAACCUGUCCUAUAGUCAACAUAAGAUUAUACAAUCCUUAACCAUCAACCAAAUAACUUAAAAGAUAGGAAUUAAAAGGUUAAGAAAGAUAACACAAAAAGUCAUUCAUCCGCAGCAACAUGAUCAUCCUCAGCAGGUGGAGGCAUGGCAGUACUGUACGCAGCACCAUCUGUAGGUUCAGGAACAGGCAGGCCAUCCUUGACAUACAACCCCAUCAGUAACUGACAAGUAUACUGAACCUGUCGACUCAGAAGUGAAUGGGACUCCUGCAAACCCUGAAGUCGAGCACCUACGUCGAUUGGAACAUUCACAAGCUCAGGAGCUGGGGGUGGAGGUACAUCAGGAACCCCCAUAACAAUCAUAUCAUAAUCAUCAUGUUCAUCCAGAGGAACACCACCACAAAUCAGAUGAUGAGUCAGGGGCCUACGCGGACUGACAAAAAUGUCCUACGUUGAGAGAUACCAGAACGCACUAACUUAUUCCAGUCCUUGGCCUUAUAGGGUACAAGAUCAGCUACCUCACCAGUUAGAGGAACAUUCAAAAACUUAAGAAUGGAUGAAAUAAAACAAGGAAACGAAAGAGACUGAGAGUUACCAACAGACUUCAUGGCAUGAAAGAUAACCUUCGAGAGAUGUACAUGACGUUGUGUCAUACACCAUAAAAGCUCAACUGCCUCACCAGUAAUAUUGGUCUUGUUGCCCUUACCAGGAAUAAGAUUGGCCAAAAGAAAGACAUGCAUCAGAAUCAGAGCAUAUGACCGUAAGUGAUGACGCUGAGUUUUCCCAUCAAUGAACACCUCGUUCACAAAGAAGCGAUGAACAAAAGAGGAGUCUUCUGUUAGAGGCCACGGCUCAUGAGCAUCCUCAUCAAGACACAGAGUGUCAAUGCCCAGUGCUUCAGCAAUCAGCUGGGGAGUAAUAAUAUACUUCUUACCAAACAUUGUAAUACUGAAUUGAGGACUCCCCAUAACCGGCUUCAAGUAUGCAUAGAACAGAAUCGUGGACUCCCGGUAAGCCUUGCAUUUUCGUUGAAGGACAUUCAACCAAUUCCGCUGUGUGUAGAAGUCAACAACUGGACCAAUCUGAGAUGCCCCAAGUGACGAGGAAAGAAUAUCCUGAAGAUCAAAAGAAUGUUCGGGAAACAAACUCUUGAUAGAGACUGGUGCUGCACUAGAGGAAGCCGAAGUCCUCGGACGACGUGCAGUCAUGGACGGGGAAGUAGUCGGAGAAGAGCUCUGUGGACGAGUGCGCUUCGACAUUUCCUAAACAUAUUAGACAAGAAAGUUCAACUAAUGAAUCAAACAUAACAAAAACAACCAAACCAGUCCAUUGAGACAAUUUAACAAACACUUGGUGAGCAUAACUAACAAAGACAAUAACAAGUAAUACUGGCACAGAGCAAAUCCAAGCAAAUCAAGUUCAUCACACAAAGGAUACCAUCAAGAAUAACACAAAAAAAAAAAAUGAAGAUGGCAUACAAAUUCUAGAAUCACGGAGAAGGAUGGACACGGAAUACAUAAAAUAUAAAAAUAAAAGAGAACACAAGAAGAAAAAGAGAAGAACAAUUAGAAGGAAGAAAAGAUGGGACUUACUUGCAACCACAAACACACAACAAGCUUGAGAGAAGAAGGAAGAAUGGAAGAACCAAAAAAAUAAAAUAAAAUAAAAAUUCGUUGAGCUUAUCAAUAAAAAAAUUUCUUCAUAAAAAAGUUUGCUUUCGUAGCUUCUGAUGAACUGGUUUUGGCGAUCUACAGUGGCGUAUGGCAACCCUCCCAUUGCGUAUGGGUGGACUUGGCAUCUAUUGUGCUACUGAUGUUAUGAAGUUUGCUUUCGUAGCUUCACGUACGCAAACCAAGGAUCUCCAGGACCACAUUCUUCGAGGUUGUGACACUCCACCUAUGGGUAAUGUUUUCGAUACUGCCAUUGCUAGUUUACAUCUUUCUAUACCUGAUUUUGAUCUCAGUAAUCUUGCUCCAACUGCUACCGUCCCCUUCAGACCCCAACAUGUCUUGGCGGAAGCAUACUACAACAAGAUUAGUUUUGGUCUUGAGAGGGAAUUUGAGUUGUCAGCUAGACAAAAAGCCGUGAUUGGAUGUGUGCAGUCAGAACAUGCCAAAGAUUUUCUCCUUGCUAUCCCGAUGAAAGGGCUUGGAAAACGCAUGACGCCUGUAGAAUAUCGUGUCAUUCUUCGUUAUCGAUUGAUGAUCCCUCUAUAUUCAGAUGGUGAGCUUUGUCCAGUGUGCAAAGAAGAGUAGACUUGAUGCUUUCGGGGACCAUGCGGCCCAUUGUAAGCAUUACCCCGGCUUCAAGUACAGGCAUGACCACGUUAGAGAUAUCUUGUGUGAUGUGUUCUGGCGGGCUACCGUACAGGUUAAGAAGGAGGCUCCUGUUAACUUUCUUACUGAUCCUAAGGAAAGAAGAUCGACAUUACGUCCUGCUGAUAUUCUGGUCUACAACUGGUCUGAAGGUAAACAUGCCUGUGUUGAUGUCACAGGGGCGUCNNNNNNNNNNNNNNNNNNNNNNNNNNNNNNNNNNNNNNNNNNNNNNNNNNNNNNNNNNNNNNNNNNNNNNNNNNNNNNNNNNNNNNNNNNNNNNNNNNNNUGAGAUUUUUGAGGUGGGGCUAGCAGCUAGCAUGCAGCAGCGGCAAAAGUGGAGAACAUGACGGAGCUGUAGGGCUAACCAACAUAGUUCAUCCCCUUUGCAUUGACACAUUGGAUUGUUAGGCUCAGAAGCAGUUGAGCUCCUCAGGAGAGUGCAAAAGAUAAUGGAUAGCAACGUGAUGACUGCAGGUUCGAACGAAUAUGUAUUUAGGAGAAUCGAGUUUGCUAUCCAGAAAGGACUUGCCGCGCAGUUUGUAGCGCGUUUGUCCUCUACUUUUGUGUAAUUUGUUGAGCUUAUCAAUAAAAUUUUAUUUCUAUCAAAACAAAAAAAAUCAAAACCAAAGAACUUACCAAAGAUGAAACGAGAGAGAAAGGAAAGAAAGAAAAGAGAAAAUAGAAAGGAAAUAAAACCGAUUUAUAAUUUGUUGUUGGAACUAAAACGUUCGAAUCUCCCGUCGCAACGUUCAAAUCAAAACCAAUUUUAGAUAGAAACAACCAGAGGGAAAAAGACACAACAUUCGGACAAUUAAAGCAAACGUUCGAAUCGAAAUGAGUAAAAAACACUCAUUAAAAAACGUUCGAAUCGAAUUACAAAACGUUCGAACCUAAUGCAGACAUGAAUUAAACAAAUGUUCGGCCGAACAGAUCGUCACGAAUAAUACGUGUAACAUUCGUCAAUUAGUUAGACAUGCGCCGAAUUAUUGACGUACUCCAGGGAUUAACGUUCGAACCAAUUCCAAAUACGUUCGAACCAAAAUGAGUACAGAACAUGCGUUUAAAACCAUUCGAACCAUAAUGACGAAGGUUCAAACCAAAUACAGAAAACCGUUCGAACCUCAAUAAAAAGCGUUCGAACCAAACGAGUACAGAACACAUAAUAAAAAACGUUCAAACCAAAGGGAAAAUGGUUCAAACCAACUAGAAGAAAAUGUUCAAACCACACAUAGAAACGUUCGAACCAAAGACCAGAAAAAGAACCAACAAUGAAGAAAAUCUUCUUUGGACUAAAAACCGAAAAAUUUCAAAGGGAAAAGAGAAACAAGAACUAGGAAAAACCUUCGCAUAAGCAGACAAGCUAUAAUAGCACAUCACAAACCGCCAUGUAGACAUCACAAAGUUGUCAAUUACAAGAAACAACAAUAUAGAAACACGGAACAGACACAUCAACGCACAAGGCAUAUAUAUCAUGAACACAAUUGCGACGUGUGAGUAAUGCAAAACUAAGCAUGUAUGAAAGCGUACACCACAAGAAUGAUCAGAUUGAUCUCCAAGAACCACACACCAAGUAAGAGCGACUUAAGUAGGAGAGACUAUGGCCAAGAAAGAAGAUGUCGAUAGAGAAAACACAAAGUAAUUAACGCCUUCAACAAGAAUUUACUUGCAAAUGAAUCAAUAUUUAUUGAUCUUCCUGAAUACAAAAGACAUGUACAUCUUCACAAUACUUUUUGCCACAUGUGGUAGGGAUCUUUACCUACUUCUUUUUAUGUCAUUAUCAUGUGGGAGGAAUAUUUACCUCCGUCUUUUCAUCCACAUAAGGUAGGGUGUAACCUAUAUGUUUUUUACAUUUCUCGCAACCUAGUAGGGCAACACCAUGAUAACGUGCAACACAAGAACUAACAUCUCUCGAGUGCAUCCGUCAGAGCAUGACCCUCACAACCCCAACGGGUUUACUACCAAAUGCAUAUGCUUACAAGACAAGCAUAAGGCUGGGGAGAUAGUGAGUUCCUGACCACUACCGAAUAAUAACAACACAAGGACAGAGAAGGCAUAGUCUGAUAACUUAAAACACCCAAGACCAGGCAAAGUAAUCCUAGAAGAACAAUGCAAACAAACAUAUGGUACCCACUAAGACAUACAAGCAAGCAAGCAAUGUUAGUGCGAAUAGCAGAGAUGACGUUCAUGAUAAAACAAAAAUGCAUGAGUCCAUAAAGGGCUAUCUAGAAAUUAAANNNNNNNNNNNNNNNNNNNNNNNNNNNNNNNNNNNNNNNNNNNNNNNNNNNNNNNNNNNNNNNNNNNNNNNNNNNNNNNNNNNNNNNNNNNNNNNNNNNNNNNNNNNNNNNNNNNNNNNNNNNNNNNNNNNNNNNNNNNNNNNNNNNNNNNNNNNNNNNNNNNNNNNNNNNNNNNNNNNNNNNNNNNNNNNNNNNNNNNNNNNNNNNNNNNNNNNNNNNNNNNNNNNNNNNNNNNNNNNNNNNNNNNNNNNNNNNNNNNNNNNNNNNNNNNNNNNNNNNNNNNNNNNNNNNNNNNNNNNNNNNNNNNNNNNNNNNNNNNNNNNNNNNNNNNNNNNNNNNNNNNNNNNNNNNNNNNNNNNNNNNNNNNNNNNNNNNNNNNNNNNNNNNNNNNNNNNNNNNNNGUAACUAAAGAACUUUGAGAAAAACAAAUAGAACCGAACGACCAGAAUAGAAAAACACAUAGCACCGAAAUCGGACAAUGAACGAAUAAAAGCCCACACAGAGAGAAAGACGAAACACACAACAUAAGAAUGGGUAGAAAAGAGCAGAACUAAGAAGAAAUGGUCAUGACAUUACAAUGGUUAUCAGAACGAAUAUUAGACAAGUGACAAGUACCCGCACUAUCAAACAUAUUACAUAUAUCUUUCUCAAAAAGAACACAGUAGCCAUCAUCACAUAACUGACUUAUACUAAAUAGAUUAGAACGUAAGUCAUGAACCAAUAAGGUGCUAAUAUUAGACAAAGCACCAAUUUCAGAUAGGAUCCCCUUACCAAGAAUUCGAGACUUCUUACCAUCACCAAAAGUAACAUUACCAAGGGUGAUUUAGGUUUUGGUCACCACUUUUUAGUAUAAAUUAGGUUUUGGAGCCGGUUUUUAUCUUUAUUAGGGUUUAGAGCUGAACCGACAAUUGACCCAAGUAAUUGUUUAUAAUGGCCAAAAUACCCCUGAUCAAA
RNAcentral lists this long non-coding RNA (79282 nucleotides) under Aquilegia coerulea. RNAcentral's name for it is "long non-coding RNA (ACOE_LNC002064)". The record is from RNAcentral. Lineage: Eukaryota; Viridiplantae; Streptophyta; Magnoliopsida; Ranunculales; Ranunculaceae.